This 55580-nucleotide long non-coding RNA is filed under the name Coffea arabica (coffee). RNAcentral's name for it is "long non-coding RNA (CARA_LNC002558)". Lineage: Eukaryota; Viridiplantae; Streptophyta; Magnoliopsida; Gentianales; Rubiaceae. The record is from RNAcentral.
UACGGGGAGACCUAAUCGUGACUCAAUUUGUCCUUUAUAGAGGGAAUACAAGCGUGCUAAGGCUUAGAAAAAGCCAUACUCGUCUAUAUCCCAUAUUUAAGGAGACUCUCAAGCAAAUGAACCCUAUAACUAGCAUGAAAUGCAAAAAUCCUAAAAUGGAGGGAAAAGGGGUUUGAGGAGCAUGCUAAAUGAUAAAACUAAAAAGAAUGCAUGACAUGUAAUGAACAUGCAAAUAUGUACUAACGAGGGGAAGUCCCUAAGGGUCUAGCGUUGGACUAACCCAUUCUAUGAAUUCCGACUAGCGUUGGACUAGUGGAAACGUAUAUUCAUCCAUCGCAUUCAUUCAUGGCUAUGGAAAGCGAGUAGACAUGCCAAACACUCGUAAACAUAUAGCACAUAACACUUAGCAUGCUUGACUAGAUGCAAGUCCCUAACAAAGCAAAUUAACACGUAGCAACUAAGCAUGCAAGACACAUAAGACAAUUAAAGCCCUAACUAUUACAUUUGCUAGCUAGGCACAUGUCUUCGAUAGGUCUUCAUUGAAUGCUCCUCCAAGCCCUAUCUAUUACAAGCCAAGAGAUUUACACAUACCCCAUAAAGAAUAACUUAAAUAAAAAGCAAAAGUACAUGACAUAAAUGAAAGGAAUUAAAGAAAAAAACAAGGGAAGCAAGUAGACAUGCAAUUUUCAUGUAGCACGUUGGAUCACAUAGGAGAGAUAAAAAAGAUAAAAGAAGUUAUACCUCCCUUGAGUUGAUGCCUUAAAUUGAGUGAAACCACUUAUUUACCCUCCAAAAAUAAUAAAUGAGUCAAUGUACCAAUUUAUUUAUCAAAUAAUCAUAAAAAAUAAAAUGGCAAACUUGAAAUUGAAUCAAUUGAAUCAUGUAAGCAAACAACAUUCAAGAAGUCAAAAGAAGAAAGGACUUGAUUGCAAAAAUAAACAAAGUUUUGGGGUCAAAAUUAAAGAAAAAUAAAGUUCAGGGACCUAUUUGCAAUUAAAUUAAGGACCGAAUUGAGAGAAGUUGAAAAUAUCCAGGGCCACAGUACAGUCAAGGAAAAAUUCAGGGACUGAUUUGCAAAAUCGUUUUCUGGUUUCUUAAUGGACCAAACCAUUGGGCCUUUGUAUUUAUUUCGUGGGCCAAGACUUAUCAAAUCCAAUAGAAAAUCCAAGGCAAAUGGAAUGGGCUAGUCCACUAUUCUGACCCCAAAAAUAAACCAACAAACUGGUGGGCUUUAAUCCUCCAGCCCAGGACGAACCCAAAUGAAAGAAAACCAAACCCAGUUCCAAGUAGCCCAAACAAAUAGCCAAACCCAAUUCCUCUUUUGUUUUACCAAAAACCCAACAAAGCUAAUAGGUCUAAUUUCAUUCCAAAAUCCGGGAUUAAUUAUUUUAAAAGCAUACUUAAAACAACAAAAAAAAUAAUAAUAAUAACUAAGCUUGAAAGGGGGUAAAAAUGAUUAUUUUACAGAAGUUUUCGGGCCUUAGUGAAAUUACUCAAAGAUUUGGGGGUCAAAACGUGAUUUGUUAAACAUUUUCAUACCAGCUCACGAUGCAUCUUCUUCUUCUUUGUUAGUUUUUUCCUGCUGUAAUUUCUACGACAACUUAGCGACAUCACCUCAAGAUUUCAAGCCCAAGUGCACGAUACACAUAUACCCAAAUCGCCGACAAAGCCAAUCCAAUAUUAUGCAAGGAAUUCCGACAAGACAGAUUGCAAAACAAAUGGACAGAUUGCAGGCAUUGGAAGAAAAGAAAAAGCCGCAGGAACACUAAAAGAAACAAGACCCAGGAACAAAAAAAAAGCAAAAUAAAAGCGAGAUGAGUUGGGACAUUAUUUUGGGAUGGUACCUGAUGAAGGCUUUUUGUUGAAUCGAAAUCCAAACAGGAAACGCGCGAAGGAGUCGUUUGGAGCUGAUUCGUUGCAGCUUUUGACAUGGAACAGGGAGAUGGGAUCAACGACUUCAGGUCCAAAUUCGAGGGAUCUCCUGAUGUUAUUUCUCCAAGAUCUCUGAACGGAAAUCUCUCUCCUGAUGUCACAGAGUAUGCAGAAGCUAACAGCUUGGUGAAUGAUGCCUCGAUGGAGAAAAUCUUCGCUCAAGAAAACUGGAUGAUCAGCCUUUUCCAAGGAAAAACGCAGCUUGCAUUCUCCCUCUUGCUCUCGUUUCCUCUGUUUUCUUUUUUUUUAGCCCAGCCGCCAACCUCAGCUCUCUCUAUUUCUUGGUUUUUCCUCUCACUGAAGCUCCCUGUUUUUCCAGAUUUUUUCCCUUUUCCUGUUGUUUCUUUUUUUCUAUCCCUUGUUGCUCUGUUUUUCCUCCAUUUCCUCUGCUCUGUUUUUUCCGUUUUUAGCCCCUUUUUUCUGUUUUCUAGUCGUAGCUUCCCCCAAGCCUCCAAGUGUCCUUAACACCUCCCUCCUAUACACUUGUCCUAUAAUUUCUUAGACACUUUGUCUAAUGAUUAUUUUGCACACUUGUUCAACAUGCACACUUCCACCUAUCCACACAUUUUCCUUUACUUUUUGUCAUUUUCAUUUUUUUCAAAAAUCAAUUAAAAAUAAAUUAACAAUUUUCAAACCAAAUUUAAGAGAAUUAAUGCCACUUUUAACAUCUUACAAAAAUGAAAAUGAUGAAUCUGACCCAAUUAAAAAAAUAAAUAAAUAAUAAAUGAUAAAAAAUGAAAUAAUCAAAAUAAUCAAAAUUUGGUGUCUACAACAAGAAAAGUAAUAUUAAGGAAACUUUACAAAGUAUUUUACUAGUUUUAAUACUACAUGGUUUAUUGACUUAUUCCAAGAAAAUAAACUAGUUAUACUACGAAUAAUUUUUCCUACGUAACCCUAUAACUAGUAUAACCAACUUAUAGUUUUAAAAUUUGGUAUUUUUAGGGUUAUUCGAGGACGCGGAAUUCGAUUCCCAACUUGACAUCUGAACUUCACUCUUGGUGAGUGUUCCUGCUUGUUCUAUUCAUACUUGGUUAAAGUGCUUUCUUGACUUGAAAUGUGAUACUUGCAAAACUAAUUUUUGAUCCAUCGAAGUGAGCAGUGUGUACUUUAUCGCACUAGCCGUUCGAGUGGUGACUUGCGUGAGACAUUUUCUCGUGAAUAUAAAUGUAGUUGCGUCGUUGGGUGAAUCCCUCGACUCGUGAAUCCAACUGCAGUAACGUCGUUGGGUAAAUCCCUCGACCAAUUCCUGAGGGUAUACUCACGUAUACUGCUCCCAAUUUCUAAGGGUAUAUCUCGAGUAUACUGCUUCCUUAGUUGGCGUUCGGGCCCGGGACAGGGGUAAGAACGGUGACGGGUUUGGAGUAAAAAUGAGAGGAUCUACAUGGACUAUAAGUAGUGAGAGUUGACGGAGGGUCAACUACGAUGAAUGGUGAUCAAGCGAGGAAAAUGGCUCCUGAGAGCCCCUGUAUCCUACCUUGUGCUGUUAUCCGCUUUUCUACUUGUUUACCUUAGUCAAUAUGGAUUCUUGCUCCUGUUUAUUUAGAUGCAUGUUUUGGGGCACCACUGAGUUUUAGCUCACCCCACGUUUAUUUGUUUUCCUUAACAGGUUCUGGAAAUUGAAAGUUUUGAAACUUACUCAUGUUUUCCUUUUGGGAUGUAUUUGAAUACUAUGACUACUUUUGUGGGCUGUAAUGCUUUAAUUUGGAUAAUGUACUUUUUAUUUUGGAUUGCCACUUGAAGCUGGAAAAUGUGUAAAACUUAAUUUGGAUGCUUGGCUUGAUUGUUGUAUUUUGUUGUAUGAAUGUUUUAAUUAGUCGGGACGGUACGAUUCUAUUCCGCAGUUCGUAGCGCGUGAGAUUUUUAGGAGCCGUUGAUUGGCUAUUUUAAAUUACUGCUAUCUCUGAAGUUAAUGUGGUUUUAGUGACGGCCUACUUCGGAGGAAUUAUUUUGUAAAAGAAUAGGUUAUUCUUCGAAAGGAUUUGGGUUAGAAUGCUUGUGUGAGUCCUGGCGAGAGCUGGGCAGACGGCCCGCCAACCCUUUGGUUCGCCUUAGAGGGAAGUGGGGUCGCCACAGGUGGUAUCAGAGCCUAGGUUAGAAAAGUUAUCUGAGAGAUAUAUUAGAUGCGUUAGAAACCCUAAUCCUCUUUAGAAAUAAGAAUUGAGAUUAUUAGAUAUAUUUUAAGUAAUAUCCGAUCCAGUUAGUUAUUUAAGUUCUAACCCUUAAGUUUUGAUUAUUUUGCAGAUAUGGAGAAUAGUAAUGCAUGCUAACGGUAGUGGAGCGUCCAAUGGACACGUAGAGCCGCUGAGAUCCAUUUCCUAUAGGCCUCGAGGUGGAGGAGAUCGAGUUCGAUACUCACCCGCUAAUAGGCACCCUAGAUGCCAGUGUAGAGCCACACACGCGUAUCCCAAUGACUUGGUAUUAUCCCUGGAUGAUGAGCGCCGCCACUUGUGGGACGCCAACCAUACCCUGACCCAGGACGUGGAGGAGCUGAGUAUUAUGGUGGAUACUCAGUUCGACCACAUAGCCAAUUUGGAGAGUAGGCUAGCCGCUGAGCACGCUAAGUUGGAGGCCGCUCGUUUGGAGAUAGAGCGACAGAAGUCUAGGGCGACUCGACUAGCCGAGAGGAUGCGUGAUAUGAGUGCCGGCAUCAAGGCUGAUGCCGCAAUAAUGAUGGACGAGGCCACUAGCUUUAUUCAGAGUGGCGAGCAGACAGGUGCAGAGGAGGACCCGGAGGAGGAUCCAGAGGAGGACCCGGAGGAGGAUCCGGAGGAGGACGUUGCUCCGGAUAGCCCUGCCCAGGGUUAGGUUAGGACUGACCUGUUUACUCUAGAUAUGUAGGGUUAGGAAAGGGGGACAUUUGUUAAGUCAUCAAAUUUUGUCUAGAUGGAUGACUUGCUUUCGAGGCACCAUAUCCCUAAUUUUUGUUUAAGGGAUUAUCUGUAUGUAUUUUUGCUAGCUUAUGUGCCUUACUUUUGGGAAUGUCCCAACCUGCUACCUGUAUGACUUUCACGCAUGAAUAUAUGCUAAGUGCUUUAUUUUCUUUUCCCUCCAUUUCCAAGUUGAUUUUUAGUUACAAAGAGAAUAAUAAUAAUCGUAGAUAAGUAAUACUUUCACCUGAUUGUCUUAUCCUUCCGUAAUAGGCAUAGUUAGGCUAUGGAUCGCCAGGUGAUAGGAAGGAGCCGUGGGAGACCCACUAGGCAACACCCGGAAGCGGGUGGUGAUAUGGAGCCAGAGGUCAAUCAAGACCAAGGGCAAGAGGGUGUGGCCGGAGAUCAAGUGGCCACUGCAAUCAACCGUAUCACUGACGUCUUGGAGCGCUUGACUGAACAUCAAGCCUCUGGACCAGUGCACCGUCAAGGGGGCCCAGCCGAUUCGGAGGAUCGGGCCUUAGAGAGAUUCCUAAAGUUUGGACCUCCCAAAUUUUAUGGGGGACCCGAACCGGAAGCAGCUGAAGGCUGGUGGGAGAGAAUCACGGAUAUCUUCGCAGCCUUAAACUAUGCGGAGGAACGACAUGUGACUUUUGCCACAUUCCAAUUUGAGGGAGCUGCUCGCUCCUGGUGGAACCUGGUAAGGGUUACCUGGGACAGGAACCAUACUCCAAGAACUUGAGCGAACAUCACAAGGGAGUUCAAUGCCAAAUUUCUUCCACCUCUCAUCCAAGAAAAGAGAGAGGACGACUUCAUAAAAUGUAAGCAAGGGGCGAUGAGUGUCGCCGAAUAUGAGGUCUAAUUUACGAAGCUGUCCCGCUUUGCUCCUGAAUUGAUAGCCACGGAGCAAAGGCGUGUCAGAAGGUUCGUGCAGGGACUGAAUGUGGAAAUACAGGAAGGUUUAGCUGCCGUGAGGAUAGACACUUUUGUAGAUGCCGUCGAGAGAGCCCAGAGAGUUGAAGUAGCUAGAGCUCAAGUGAAAUCUUUUCAGGCCAAGAAAAGAUUUGCUCCUAGCAGUAGUCGGGAACUGACGUAUGGAAAUGCUCCACCGGCCAAAGUGGGCCGAGGAACCAGCGGAGUGACUAGUCCUGGAGCACCACGAGGCGCACACGCAAGAGGAAUCGGGGCAAGGAAUGAAUGAGGAAGAAAUAAUGGAACUAGAGUGGGACCGAAUGGAAGGGGACAACCUAGGAAUACCUCGUCGGGAGGCCGAGCAAUAAUUUUCCAAGUGACUUGUGCCUAUUGUAAGAAACCUGGCCAUACUAUAGAUGGUUGCUGGAAGAAGCAAGGAAAGUGCUUGAGAUGCGGAAGUAGCGAGCACCAAAUUUCAGGAUGUCCAAAAAUGCAGGAAGGGAUUACUCCAAACGCUAGACCAAACACUUUUAGAGGGAACCGGCCGACAGUUCCUGCCAGAGUGUAUGCUAUAGAUGACCAACCUGUACCCGAUUCCUCGGAAGUUGUGGAAGGUACACUUCCGAUUUUUCAUCGAUUAGCUAAAGUGUUAAUUGACCCUGGUGCAACGCAUUCAUUCGUAAAUCCCACAUUCAUGUCCGCAAUUGACGUGAAACCUGUUAGAUUACUCUACGAUCUUGAAGUUAGAACACCAAUGGGUAAUAAGAAGGUAAUCACUAGCUUAGCCUAUAAGAAUUGUGAAUUCUGGAUUGGAGAGCGUAAAAUGCUAGUGGAUCUAAUCAGUCUGGACAUAAAAGGUUACGAUGUUAUAAUAGGAAUGGAUUUUCUAGUUCAUUAUCAUGCUAAGCUUGAUUUCCGAGCGAAGGUGGUAGAAUUCUGUAUACCCGGAGAAGCGAUCCUGAGGUUAGAUGUUAAAGGUAGAUUAGCAUCGUCUGCUAUGAUUUCGGGAAUACGGGCGAGGAAAAUGUUGUCAAAAGGAGCGCAAGGUUUCUUAGCCUUUUUGAUUAACGCUUCCAGCGAUCAAAGGAAGUUAGAAGAUGUACCAGUGGUGCGUGAAUUUCCGGAUGUUUUCCCCGAAGAGCUAAAGACUCUACCGCCGGAAAGAGAAAUGGAAUUUAAGAUUGACUUGGUGCCUGGAACGGCUCCGAUUUCUAAGACUCCGUACCGAAUGGCUCCCCCGAGCUAAAAGAGUUGAAAAUUCAACUGCAGGACUUGUUGGAGAAAGGUUUCGUGAAAGAGAGUGACUCACCAUGGGGAGCACCCGUUCUAUUUGUGAAGAAAAAGGACGGAAGCUUGAGAUUGUGCAUUGACUACCGAGGGUUAAAUGAGGCUACAAUUAAGAAUAAAUACCCUCUACCGUUGAUUGAUAGUUUGUUUGACCAACUACAAGGGUCAGUAGUUUUCUCUAAGCUGGACUUGAGGCAAGGGUAUUAUCAGUUGAAGAUUAAGAAGGAGGAUAUACCCAAGACUGCCUUUAGCACAAGAUAUGGACACUUUGAGUUCGCAGUCAUGCCUUUCGGAUUAACCAACGCACCAGCUGCUUUCAUGGAUCUUAUGCAGAGAGUCUUUAAGAAGUACCUGGAUCAGUUUGUAGUAGUGUUCAUCGAUGAUAUUUUGAUAUACUCUAAGACUCGAGAGGAACAUGUUAAGCACUUGGAGAUAGUUUUGCAGAUACUAAGAGAGCAUAAGUUAUAUGCCAAGUUCAGUAAGUGCGAGUUUUGGUUGGAGGAGAUUUCAUUUCUAGGGCAUAAAGUUUCCAAAGAGGGGAUUGCCGUGGAUCCGGCAAAAAUUGAGGCCGUUAUGAAUUGGAAACAACCAGAAACUCCAACUGAAGUUAGAAGCUUCUUGGGAUUAGCAGGUUAUUAUAGGCGGUUUAUCCAGGAUUUCUCGAAGAUUGCAGGACCUAUGACCGAGCUAACCAAGAAAGGGACUAAGUUUAUUUGGACUCCGAAGUGUGAGUCAAGUUUUCAGGAGUUAAAGAAGCGUUUAACAUCCGCUCCUGUUUUGGUAUUACCUGAUCGAGGAGAAGGUUAUGCCGUGUAUUCCGAUGCAUCCAGAGAAGGUCUAGGAUGUGUUUUAAUGCAAAUGGGUAAGGUAGUUGCCUAUGCUUCUAGGAGAUUGAAACCUCACGAACAAAAUUACCCAACACAUGACUUGGAAUUAGCUGCAGUAAUUUUCGCCUUAAAGAAAUGGAGACACUACUUGUACGGUGUGACUUUUGAGAUUUAUACGGACCAUAAGAGUCUCAAGUAUUUGUUCUCCCAAAAGGAACUAAAUUUGAGACAAAGGCGAUGGGUAGAAUUUCUGGAAGAUUAUGACUGUUCGAUUAAUUAUCACCCAGGAAAAGCCAAUGUGGUAGCUGACGCUCUAAAUAGAAAGGCCCAAGUAGCAGGGUUAAUGGUUAAAGAGUGGGACAUGUUAGAAGAAAUAAGUGGUUGGAACCCUCGCUUGGAGAAACUGAAGAUAUUAUUUGGGAACUUAUCGUUAAAAUCACCGUUACUAGAGCGUAUUAAGGAGGCCCAGAAAACAGACCCUAUGAUUCAGAAGAAUUUGGAGAAAGUGCAAAAAGGGGAAACGCUAGACUUUAAAUUAGGGUCUGAAGGGGUAUUGAGGUUCCGAGAUCGAAUUGUGAUUCCGGCAGAUGAAGAGAUAAGGAAAGAAAUUUUAGAAGAAUCACAUCGAUCGAAGUAUUCUAUACACCCAGGUGUGACCAAGAUGUAUCAUGAUGUGAAGGGAUUAUACUGGUGGGAAGGUUUGAAAAAGGACGUGGCAGAGUUUGUACAGAGAUGCUUAAUCUGCCAACAAGUAAAAGCUGAGCACCAGAAGCCCUCUGGUUUAUUGCAACCGUUAGAAACCCCUGAAUGGAAAUGGGAACAUAUAACAAUGGAUUUUGUAACAGGAUUGCCUAGAAGCCAAAAAGGAUUUGAUGCAAUUUGGGUAAUAGUUGACCGACUCACUAAGUCUGCACAUUUCCUACCCGUGAGCAUGGGCUUCUCUUUGGAAAAACUGGUCAAGUUGUACACAGAAGAGAUCCUAAGAUUACAUGGUAUCCCUGUAAGUAUCGUGUCUGAUCGAGACCCAAGGUUUGUCUCGCAUUUUUGGCAGAAAUUUCAGGAGUCUUUGGGGACCAAGUUGAAAUUUAGUACUGCGUACCAUCCCCAAACCGACGGGCAGUCGGAAAGGACAAUUCAAACUUUGGAGGAUCUGCUGAGAUCGUGUAUACUAGAUUUUGGAGGUAAAUGGAGCCAAUACAUGACCUUAGUAGAAUUUGCAUAUAAUAACAGCUAUCAGGCUUCGAUUCAAAUGGCACCUUAUGAAGUUUUGUAUGGGAGAAGGUGUCGAUCUCCGAUUCAUUGGGAUGAAGUUGGAGAAAAGAAAGUUGUAGACCCUACAGCUAUACCUUGGAUAGAAGAAGCCCAGGAGAAAGUGAAACUAAUUAGAGAAAGGCUUCAAACUGCUCAGAAUAAACAAAAGAGCCACGCCGACACAAGGAGGAAAGAUUUGGAAUUCGAAGUAGGAGACAAGGUCUUCCUAAGAAUUAAACCCUUGAAGGGCGGAGUAGUGUCUAAGAAAGGUAAGAAGCUAAAGCCAAGGUAUAUCGGACCUUUUGAAAUUUUGAAGCGAGUUGGGAAUGUGGCAUAUCAGCUGAAGUUGCCCGCAAGCAUGGCUAAGGUUCACAAUGUAUUUCACGUUUCCAUGCUUAGGCAAUAUUAUUCCGACCCAAGCCAUGUGCUGCCACUGGAGGGAAUGGAGGUGGAUGAGACGUUAACGUAUGAAGAAGGACCAGUCCAGAUUUUGGAAAGGGAAGUGAAGGAGCUGAGAAAUAAGAAAAUUCCUCUGGUGAAAAUUCUAUGGAGAAAUCAUGGACUUGAGGAAGCAACUUGGGAAUUAGAAGAAGAAAUGCAGAAAGAAUACCUUAAUUUAUUUCCUUAGAAAGUGUGAAUUUUGAGGACAAAAUUCAUUGUAAGGAGGGGAGGAUGUGAGAAUCCUGAAAAUAUAUAUACAAAUAUCAUUUCAUAUUUCAUUUGCAUUUUUAAUUCAUUAGUAAAUUCUAGUAUUACUUUCACUUGUUUCAAUAUAAGUGCGUAUAAACACUUUUCAUGAGAGGAAUAAUAAAAUUUUUCUAAAUCAUGAAAUUUCUUGGCUUUGCUAGACUAAUUAAUACCUUUAGAGUUAGAAUAAAUUUUAGCACCUCAACAUAAAAUAUUAAAGUACUUAGUUUUAUUAUGCUAAUUAAUAUCACAUGAGUAGAUUAAUUUUACUACCUUAAAAUAAACUAUUUGAAGUCCAAUAAUUAAUUCUAAUUAGUGAACAACGUUAAAUACUCCCAAAAAUUCUCACGAUAGGACGAAGCCGAUAAAUUUUAGAUAAAAACAAUACAAGUAUACUAAAUGCGUGUGGGACGUAAAAAUUUCGACAAUUGAAACCUUGUAAGAUUAGUGUGACAGCCCCACCUCCCCCUAAGGCGAACCGCCUGCCCAACUCUCGCCGGAACUCAGUCGUUCACUACAUUCCUCAAAUGAAUUACAAGAAUAAACCUCAAAUAUUACAAUAUAAAUCUCCAAUAUACAUCAAAUUCUCCAAAAAUUACAUGUCAUAAGCGAAGCGGAAACAAUUCCCCACUAAACAUAAAAUGAAUCCAAAUCCAAAUUGUACAAAAUAUAGGCCGUCCAUUCACGUGAAUAAUCACAAGUCCUUCCUUCACCUUGAACCCUGUGGAGGGGAAUAAAAUAGUUUUGGGGUGAGCUAGAAGCUCAGCAAGUAACCAGGAAAAAUCAUUAAACAAAUAUAUUUCACAAUAAUGCAUUUCGAUGAUGUCAUGAUUCAGAGAUCAAAUGUACGUCUCUAAAAUAUCUUUCAAGCAAUAAAUGCUCUGGUUCAAGCAAUAAAUGCUCUCAAGCAAUAAAUGCUCUGGUUCAAGCAAUAAAUGCUCUCAAGCAAUAAAUACUCUGGUUCAAGCAAUAAAUGCUCUGGUUCAAGCAAUAAAUGUUCUGGUUCAAACAAUAAAUGCUCUCAAGCAAUAAAUGCUCUGCAAAUAUUCACAAGCCAUGAAUGCCCCUUUUUGAGCUCCGGAGCCAUUUGCUCCAAGUGAACAGAGGUGGAGACGUUGGUGUCCAGCACAAGACUCCCCAAAACUCAUUGAAGCCAAAAUCAUAUCAUGUAUUCACAUGCAAGCACGCAUGAGAUGCAAUCGAGUAAAUAAUACAAGAAACAUUUCAAAAGUACUUGGGAAAUAGUUGAGGGUCACUCACCUCCAUGGCUCAGAAACCAUCCAUCAUAUAUCAGUGCCUUGCUCAAAUCCAAGCCUUAGAUCACAAACGCAAAGCAAUCAAGCCCUUCAAAGUUCGGACAGCACUUCCCUUGAAUUUACUAACUUUUCCAGCCAUCAUGGCUUCAUUAUUUCCUCAUUCCAACCCAAAGGUACACACACAACAACAAGUUCAUCCAAUAGCCAUUCAGCAAGCUCCAAGUAGUACUAGUACAAGUCAAGCUAGGGAAAAGUCCGGAAAUGAAAGUUAAGCUCAAAACAAGAAAAAUAGUUUUGGACGUCAUUUUACAGUAAUGGUACCAAAGGCGCUACGAUUGUCGGAUGAAGGUACAAGAUACACCGUUUCGAAACUAAGAGAUAGGGCUACAAUAUUGUAGAAGGUCACUCAACUCAGUUUCGAGUAUAACCAGGUCAAAAAUGCAAGAUACUACACCAGAAUCACAAAAACAGAUUCACAGAAUGCAUUCUAGCGGAAACAUCAUAAAUCAGUCUACCUAAGUCCAAAUCCAGAAAUUCCAAAACCAGCUGAAAGCUAAGAAACAGGGAUACAUUUCAUCAGAAGACAUCAACAACCAAUUCGGAAGCAAUCCUGACCAAAACAACCCAUUACAGAAGCAAUUCUCAAUUUCGGGUAAAACCAGAACAGCAAUAGUAAUUUCAACUUUUCUCAUUCUACACUACUCCGAUUGACCUGAAAUUUUGUAGGAACUUCUAAAAUAUCAUUCCCUACAACUUUUAUGUUUUAAUCCAAGGCCAAUUCGGCCUCUAACUAGGAGCUAUAAAUUCGGGCAGAAUGUAUUCAUUAGAACCCUAAUUUUUUCAAUUUUCUUCCAAACCAGAAAUUGUUUGCAAUUUACCACUUUUUCUACCUCAUAAAGUCCUUAAAUAUCAUUUCCAAUCAUCAUACAUGACCACAUAAUCAUAUCCAUAUGAAAACAGAAAAAUCCCCAAUAAUUAUAAAACUUCACCAAUUCAACCAAAAUCAAGAUAUAAUCCAUCAAAGUGCAUCUUAUACCACCACCAAUCAUGAAUUGAACAUCAUUAGAGGAAGGAGAGGGGUCCUUCACAACUCACCUUAGCAAUACAAGAGAUAGAGCAACUAGUCACCUUAGCUUUUCAAACAACUUCACAACCAAGCUCAACUCCACCAAACUAAGAGGUUUUAUGGAGUAAUUGGAAGAUUAAUCGGUUUAAUUGAAAGAUUGGGCAAGAUUGGAGACUAGAAAAUUGAGAGCUUUUCUUCCCUUUUUUGAGCAAGAGAAUUCGGCCAAGAAGCUUGCAAAAUGAAGAGAUUUUUGGCCAAUUUUAAUUAAAUGGUAAAGUUAUGAAUAGUAGUCAAACUCAAGACUAAAUCUUAUGGUGACACUUGUCACCUUUAGGUUUAAAACUUAUCUUUUUGUCUCUCCAAUACAAAUAUCUUAACACUUUGUAAAAUAAUAUCACUUAAUACAAAAUUCCAACAAGUUGUCAAAAAUAUAAUGCAUUUACCGCACUAGCGGGUCCCACGUCCAAAAUACGCUCGUAAUUUCUCAAAAACUAACCGAUACUAGAAAAAUCAUUUUAAAACUAUCUUUGCUCAUAAACUUUAUUUGGGGAAUUUUUCUAAUAAAGAAACUGUAGAAAAGGCGGGCGAUUAAAUAAAAGAAACCCUAGAAAAUUAGAAAAUUUUCAGGUUCUCGCACUCAUUCUUUUCGGAGCGUCACAAUUAGUGUAUCAUUAGGAGUUUAAUUUACAUUCGAAAUAAAUUUUUGGUGUUAAGUUAAAAUCAAGGACUCAAGUAAGGAUUAGUAGGGUAAUGUGAAUUGUCUAAACUACCCUUCACAAUAUCACAAAAUCACCAUGCAAUCCCAAAACAUUUCCGGACAGCAUUAUGAUCAACCUCACCAUUCGGCCAAUGCUCACCUUCACCACUUACACACUCAACCUCUUCCUACACUCCAACUCCCUCCAAAACCGCGAGCCAUCUCCCUGUUUUCUUUUCUUUUUUCCCUUAACUCUGCAACAUCUCACCUCAACCACAACUACACCUGACAACCGAGAGCAAGGAGAGAAAAACAGUGAGCUGCGAUAGAUUGCUGUUCCUGUCCGAGAAGGAGAAGCGAGAGGGAGAAUGAAGGAGAGAACCGUGUGUGAGCUUCCGUCUGCAUUUUUCAACUCCAAACAACUGCACUUCAGCACUUCCCACUGCAGCACCAUCCCAAUUGCAACCACUGCAACCAAAACCUGUGCGAGCUGAGAGCCGAGAGGGAGAACAGGAAAUUUUUCAGAUUUCUUGUGAGUGAGCUGCAAUCUGAGGUAACCUCUGAGCUAGAUUAAAUUAAUUAGAGGUUGAUUGAGUUGAUUAGGAGCAUGCAUGUAGAGUUAAUCGAUCGGAAGAUGAACUAGAAAAGAAAAGGAAAACUUGCUGUGCGAAGGGAUAAAUUUUGGCCGUGAGCUGAAAACGGAAAUGCAGCUCCGAAACUGUUCACUCUUAGCAAUUCGAACACCUAGAUGUAGUUAGCCAAGUGAAAACUUGAUGAUUAAGACCAUGCAUGUUGAUUUGUGCAUUCGGAUGAUGAUGUUAAAGCAUAAGAAAAUUCUGUUUCGAAAAGAAAAUGGUUGACCGAGAAUCGAUUAAGAAAUGCAUGAUGUAAUCUACUUUGUUGUGAUAAUCAGAACCUGAGAUUAUGAUUAGCUAACUCAAACUUGAAUGAUUAAGAUGUUUAGGACCUUGCAUGUUGAUUUUUGAACCAUCGAAUGAUGAUUUGAAGAAAAAGAAAUCUGAUGUGCGCAAGAAAUUUAGACUUGCCGUGAGCUUGAAACAGAAACGCAGCUGUAAUCUUGGUUAAUUGAUAUAAUCAGAGCUUGCGAAUGUGAUUACCUCACUAAUAAGAAGGUAAUUAAGUCUUGCAUGAGGCUAAGUAGCUCGGCUAACCAAGAAAAUAAAAUGAAAACAGAAAAAUUGUUUCAGGCAUGAUCAUCCGAGACUAGUUGAUAUAAUUUCUGGAUUUUAGCGAUGUUUGUAGUGUUAAAUGAAUCCGAUGUUGAACUAGAAAUGCUAAUCAAGUGGUUAAGCAGUUGCCUGUUGAAUUCGAGUCCCUAAAAUACUGAUUUAGCCAAGGAAAAAGUUGGAUUAAGAACAUACAAUUGCUGGAAAGUUUUUGUGAACUGCCGUGAGUUUGAACCUGGAAAUUUUGAAGAUUAUAACAGUUGUUUAAAUUUAAUUUCGAGCUGGAAAUGUUGACUGUCUAGCCAUGCAAUUGCAUGAUGAAGUUGAGAGUUUCAUAGCAUGUCUUAGCCAAGGAAAUAUUGAUUUAUGAACACUUAAGUGCUGGAAAAAUUUUUAUGUUCGAGAAGGUUAAGCUGGAAUUGUUUGGAGGACUUGUGUUUAUUUUGAUUAAGUUGAGAUGUGAUAUGAGCUUGCCAAAACCAAGAGCUAAUGAUUGACGAAGCCUUGGUCACUUGUUUUAUUCUUCUAUCAGAAAUGAAUCUGUUGAAAUCUAGGGCAAAUGAUUGACGAAACCCUAGUGAUUUGCUAUUUGAAAUGUGAUUAUGCCAUGUCGACAAAUUUGAGCCAUAAUGUGAUUUCGAAAUGGAAUCGAAAUUGUGAAAGUCAUUUUGACCCUGUGAACUCCAGCAAAUUUUGAUCAAGCUAAUCAAAAAUAUUUUUACGCUAGUAAUAAAUGAUAAAAUUCAGUAAUUAGUAUUUUGUCUGAAAUUUUGCCAACCGACAAUUUCCCUUUAGCUUAAACUAGCCUUAAUGGUAAUAGAAAAUAAAUUUUUCCUAGUUUUAAAACCCUAAGUCUUGUUUCAUUUCCUUUCCUUUCUUUAAGACCUGUUACUUGCUAGUUUUCUAGAGGAAAUUCCCAAAAUACGAGAUUUUAGCGAUUUUAACUAAACGUGCAGAAAACUUGUUCGGCAAGAAACAUUAUUUCACGUAAACUAGUUCUAGUAACACUUUUACAAGAAAAGUAAUAUUAAGGAAACUUUACAAAGUAUUUUACUAGUUUUAAUACUACAUGGUUUAUUGACUUAUUCCAAGAAAAUAAACUAGCUAUACUACGAAUAAUUUUUCCUACGUAACCCUAGAACUAGUAUAACCAACUUAUAGUUUUAAAAUUUGGUAUUUUUAGGGUUUUGCGAGGACGCAGAAUUCGAUUCCCAACUUGACAUCUGAACUUCACUCUUGGUGAGUGUUCCUGCUUGUUCUAUUCCUACUUGGUUAAAGUGCUUUCUUGACUUGAAAUGUGAUACUUGCAAAACUAGUUUUUGAUCCAUCGAAGUGAGCAGUGUGUACUUUAUCGCACUAGCCGUUCGAGUGGUGACUUGCGUGAGACAUUUUCUCGUGAAUCUAAAUGUAGUUGCGUCGUUGGGUGAAUCCCUCGACUCGUGAAUCCAACUGCAGUAACGUCGUUGGGUGAAUCCCUCGACCAAUUCCUGAGGGUAUACUCACGUAUACUGCUCCCAAUUUCUAAGGGUAUAUCUCGAGUAUACUGCUUCCUUAGUUGGCGUUCGGGCUCGGGACAGGGGUAAGAACGAUGACGGGUUAGGAGUAAAAAUGAUAGGAUCUACAUGGACUAUAAGUAGUGAGAGUUGACGGAGGGUCAACUACGAUGAAUGGUGAUCAAGCGAGGAAAAUGGCUCCUGAGAGCCCCUGUAUCCUACCUUGUGCUGUUAUCCGCUUUUCUACUUGUUUACCUUAGUCAAUAUGGAUUCUUGCUCCUGUUUAUUUAGAUGCAUGUUUUGGGGCACCACUGAGUUUUAGCUCACCCCACGUUUAUUUGUUUUCCUUAACAGGUUCUGGAAAUUGAAAGUUUUGAAACUUACUCAUGUUUUCCUUUUGGGAUGUAUUUGAAUACUAUGACUACUUUUGUGGGCUGUAAUGCGUUAAUUUGGAUAAUGUACUUUUUAUUUUGGAUUGCCACUUGAAGCUGGAAAAUGUGUAAAACUUAAUUUGGAUGCUUGGCUUGAUUGUUGUAUUUUGUUGUAUGAAUGUUUUAAUUAGUCGGGACGGUACGAUUCUAUUCCGCAGUUCGUAGCGCGUGAGAUUUUUAGGAGCCAUCGAUUGGCUAUUUUAAAUUACUGCUAUCUCUAAAGUUAAUGUGGUUUUAGUGACGGCCUACUUCGGAGGAAUUGUUUUGUAAUAGAAUAGGUUAUUCUUCGAAAGGAUUUGGGUUAGAAUGCUUGCGUGAGUCCUGGCGAGAGUUGGGCAGACGGCCCGCCAACCCUUUGGUUCGCGUUAGGGGGAAGUGGGGUCGCCACAAUAAGCGUAACUCCAGUUAUGAUCAGAAUACCAGAGGAUGGCAAAGCUGCCUUUCUCGUUGCCUUUCCUUUUGUUCCCGAAUGUACUUUGCUAAGAUGCUAGCCGUGAGGAACCAACUUUUAACCAGCAUUUCUUCUAAUUUCCAACCUUGUAAGCUUUCAUAUAUGGUAGCUACAGUUGUUUUGAGAUUUGAUGGCUAUAUAUAGUUCCACGAGUUGAGUUAAAUUAAAGCAAAUGAAAGAAAAACUCAUGAUUUGAGGGACCUAAAUUGGCUUCUAAUCACUUAAUAUUGUCCUUACAAAUAUUUUAAAGACUAUAAAAUUUGAAGGACUGGUGUAGUGGAAUAAAAUUUAAUUUUCAAGUAAUCUAGAGUUUAAUUAAUUAAAAUGGCACCAAUGGAAUACUCCUAAGCCUUUAUUUUAGAAUCUUGAGUGGAAAAUGAUUUAAUCCUAAAAUAAAUAUUUUAUAAAUUAUUAACUUGGAAAAUACGUAUGUUUCUUGAUUUAAGAUAAUAAAGUCAAUAAGUCUCGAAAUAAAUAUUAGGAAAUAAAUGGUGCGUAUAUUUGUAUUUCAAGGUCAAACUUGAUUUUAAUAGUUUAAACAAUAAAGUAAGAAUGAUAAGUGAUCACUUACGAAUUAUAUAUUUACUUUGAAAUUAUUAAAUUGCCCCAGGAAGUAGCUGUGAACUAGUACAAACUCGAGACUCGAGAGUAGUUCAUUUGGAUAAUUGGUGAGUAUUUCCGAAUUUAUCUGUUUAACUGUUUAUGUGUACUUAAGUGAAAUUAAGUGACAAAUGUACUUAUUAUGAAAUAUUGCUAAGUGAUUCAUUACAAAGUGUAUCUCAAUUGUCCCUCACCUUCUAAGUCGGGAGUGUACUUUAUCGCACUCGGUUUAGUUGAGUUUGAAGGUUGAUAAUUGAUCAAGUGAUAUUGUAAGUGUGCAUGACUAUAAGCCGUAUGUAUACUUUAUCACAUUGGCUGAACUGGGCCCCAAAACCCUUUGUUCAACGGACUAUUUGAGCCAGCAAAGGGCUUGGUCAGGUAGGAUGAUAGCUUUGGUUAAGUGUUUCGGUAUACUCGAGUAUUACCACGGAGUAGCAGAUCACUGAUAUUGAUAUGGCCAUCUAAAUGAGGGAAGUGUUUAUUGUUUUGGAGGUUAUAAGGAGGAGUUCGAUAGAGUGUGUAGUGCAUUGAAAUGGCUCUAAUGCGAGUACCGUAUCCUUUUAAAAGUGAUUGUUCAGUGAAGUGUUUCCUCAAUUGUUUAAUGAAAGUGAUUGUACAAUGAAAUAUGCACUACUUGCUUAAUUGUACUGAUUUAAGCAUUUAUUAAAUGUUACUUGCUUGGCAAACCUCAAUGAGUAUUAGCUCAGCCCUUUUAGCUUUGUUUUCCUUAUAGGAGUUGGAGGUCGAGGAUCGAACGAGCGAACUUAGCGAUUUAUCGUGAAGACUUUAGCAUUGUGAUUAGUAUCUUAAUAAGGUAGGAAUUUUGUAUCGAUCGAGGUAUUAUAAAAGGAUGUGAACGGUUGGUUUUGGUUUAUCAAAACAGUUAUCUCUGAAGUUAAUGUGAAAUCAAUGAGUCCUGGCGAGAGCCAGGCAGACAAUCCGCUAACUUUUAGGGUACACCCUAUAAGGAAGUGUGGUCGUCACAACUACUUAGUUUCAUUCCUCUUGUCACCGCCCAAAUUAGUGAAUCAACUUCUAUUGGUUUCCUCUCAACACCGCCCAAGUAUAUUAGCAGAUAGUUUCUUCUUGUCUCUCUCUUGGGCACCGUUUGGAUUUAGCAUUUGCUGGCAGCUGAUUUCUCCCUUUGGCAGCUGACUUAGCAAAGGUUGGCAGAUGCUAGUCACCGCCCAACGUUUUGGCAAUUGUUUUUCCUAAGUCCUCGAUUGUCUAGCAGCUUAGUUUCUCUCUUGGUUGCAUGGUUAAUUGUCCAACCAUCAAUGGUUAAAUUGGUCCUUUAGUUUAUUAUCUCAUACAUUCGUUCCUAACUUAAUUUGUAUUUUCUUCGAAAAUUUUCUUACGUUGAUCUAGUAGAUUUUCACACAUUUGGUUUUAAAAAAAACUAGUUAGAUAUGUAACUUAUUCAACUAUGUAAUAAAUUCAAAUGACACAAUUUGCCGUAUGUCUAUCAUAUGUUUAUUUGAUUCCUAAAAUUUUCUAAUCCAUUCUAUUAUUUUGUUUAUUAUUUAUUUAUUUAUCAUAUUUUUUCCCUUAAUUUUCAUUUUUAUAAGAAUUUAAUUAUGCAUUUAAUUUAACCAUUCAUUUGUUACAUAUAAUAUUUCUAAUAAUAGAUUAAAUGUAAUGAAAUAAAUUCAAAGUGUACACAUAAAUUUUCGAGUUCUCACAUUUAUCCCCCCUUAAGAAUAUUUUGCCCUCGAAAUUUCGUACUUUUAAUCGUAAAAAGCUUCGGGUAUUCUUUCCGUAUUUUAUUUUCCAUUUUCCCAAAUUGCUUCCUUCAAUCCUUCAUAUUUCCACAAGACCUUAACCAAAGGAAUUUCUUUGUUUCUUAGCGUUUUCUCCUUUCCAAUUUAAGUGUUGUAUCGACUACUUUCCCAAGUAUAUAAAAUUCAAAUACUGUAAUUUACAAUUCAACUGGGCGCUAUAUCUAACUAAACAAUCUAUACCUAAGAUAACAUCAUAACCCUGACGCUAUCGCUCCCUAAACUCUAUAACUCUCACAACUAGUCUAUAUACGAAUAUGUAAUAAUCAAUUAUAUGUAAUUAACCAUUUAAAAACACGUUUAGUCAAGAAGAAUAGAUAACUCAACGCAUAUAAAACAUACAAAUUAAGACUCUAAAAACAAAACAAAUGACUCGACAAGACACUAAACACAACAAUUAAGACACUAGACACAACAAAAACAAGAAAAAUAAGUAAAAAUAUCUAAAUUAGUAAAGUUAUUCUUAGUACCGAUAUUGACAAAUCUUCCCCGGCACCGACGCCAGAAACUUGACGUGCACGGGUUAUACAAUUAACUCAUUCACAAUCAAGUUUUACAUUUAUAAAAUUCUAAAUAUCCCACAUGCGAUUUUUCUACAAUUAUACAGGUAGUUUAUUGAGUAUAGGGGUAUUAGCUGUCGAUCCCACAGGGAAGAUUUUCAAUUACCGGUGAUUUUCAAACUCCUUUAUUAUUUAGACUAUCACAAGUGUAAGAAAUUAACUCUACACUAUAGACAUGAAGUAAAAAUAAUAAAAAUAACACUAGAAAACUCCUAGAGAUAUAAAAUUUCUUACUACUCUUGGAAAUGAAGUUACUAGUUAAGUGAAUGUUAUUAUCUUGGUUAAUCAUAGCGUAAUUUCCUAAUGUAAGUGAAACCCACUCUCAUAAUGAAUCAACUAUACUUGUAAUUAAGCCAUACCUACUCUCGUGGUUAUGAAAUUAACUACAAGCUCAUUUCUCCUAUGAAAUUACAUGAAACAAGUCAUUAAAGCUACAAAGGUGCUCCUCUACUCUCGUGAGUGAACUCCCUACGUUUAUCAUUUUAUUGAACUAAUGUUAAACUCUAAUUCUCAUUGCAAACUUAACACCUUUAGAUAAUCACAACUAAUGACCGAUUAAUCAUGAUUAGAAAAGCAAAAGUGAUAAAUAACUUGUUCAAAACAAUACCAUCAAAUAACCAGGUAAAUAUCACAAACAAGAUAUAGAAAAUUCAUCCAUACUCUAGGCAUAAAUUUUAACUAAAUAUGAAGAAAAAUAAAUCCAAACUUGUAUUAUAGUUAAACAUGAAUUUAAAUGCAAAAGAGAAAGUGAAAGGAGAGAAAUCAUCCUUGUCACAUGAGCUCUAACUCUCCAUCUUUGCUCUUCAAAUCUUCAUCCAAGUCUAUCUACAAAUACAAGAAGGAAAAGCUACACUAUCUAUACUAUACUACUCUAACGAAUGAAGUAAGGAAACUCCAGUGAAAGUCUACAUUUUUGUGGAGUUUCUCUAACCUUCCAAAGUUAUGAAAAUAUUCCCCAAAGGCCGCUAUUUAUAGAGGAAUUCCAUGCAAAAGACAAAGUGUUAAAUCAUGUUAAGAUUCCUCUUGAGCCCAUAAACAAGCUAGAUUUGAGUAGUAAAGCUUCUUUUGCAGUUGUCUUGGGCUGUUUCCACUGGUAUUCUUGCAGGAAAAUGGGUCAAAAAACUUGAGUGAACAAAACACAAGUUGCAGCCGAAAUUGAGGAAUAUACAACCUUGGAAUACGCAACUUCAAGCCACGUAUUCAAGGGUCGCGUUUUCACUUCUCUGAAUUUGGUACCACUUCAACUGCUAUUUUCUUGAUGAUAGAGGCCGAAUUAGCUCUUGUACAAAAUAUGAAAGUUGUAGCCCUUUGUAUUAGCUUUCGAUGUCUCAAGAAUCAUCCAAUUUGGGGUUCUGUAGACUAUUAAAUGACUUAAAUACCCUCAACUGGUUAGAGCUCUGUUUCAACUUUCGACAAUAAAGUUGCACUUCUGUAUUUUGACUUUUUGACAAUGAAAACGACUGAACUGGACUUUGAUGUUCCAUACCAAAUAUAAAUCUAUGCCUUAGCUUCAAAAUGGUAUAAAAAUCACCUCAAUCCAAUACUUGUAACUCAAGAUAUCGCCGAAAUACUAAAAGGUGUCAAAGCUGGAAACUUGCAUUUCAUCCUUUGAGUAUUUUGCACUUCAUGUCUUCUUUUUAUCACUUCAAAUCAUCAAUAAUCAUCCAACUAUCUUCUCAAUUUACUCCAAUUGAUGAUUGAAUCAUUAAACCUACAUAAACCUAAAGUUUUCACCAUUAAAAUCCAUAGAAAUGUAAUUUUUACCACUUAAACUAUAAAAUGCAUAUUUUCACUAGAAUUCUAAUUAAUUAGCUAUAAAAGUAGUUAAAACACGCCAAAACUAACAAAUAAAACACACUUAAAAUACAUAAAAUAUGCACUUAUCAUUUAACAAUUCGUAGCUUCAAAAAUUGUGAGAAUAGCCACAGAUUUUCAAGAACGUGUUUUCAAGGACUCACUAAAUUCAAGAUUGGGAACUUGUUUCAAUUUCGCAAGAACCCUAGAAUUUAUGUCAAGUAACUUCAAGAUUUUUUCUAGAAAAGUGAUCAAGCAAUUCAAGAAUUUAUGAAACUCCAAGAAAUCCACAACAUGUUCCAAGAAACAAAUACGAUCAGCCACAAACCCUAGGACCCGUUAUCAUGGCAAGAAUUGUGACGCCCCGAAAAGAAUGAAUGCGAGAACCCGAAAAUUUUCUAAUUUUCUAGGGUUUCUUUUAUUUAAUCGCCCGCCUUUUCUACAGUUUCUUUAUUAGAAAAAUUCCCCAGAUAAAGUUUAUGAGCAAAGAUAGUUUUAAAAUGAUUUUUCUAGUAUCGGUUAGUUUUUGAGAAAUUAAGAGCGUAUUUUGGACGUGGGACCCGCUAGUGCGGUAAAUGCAUUAUAUUUUUGACAACUUGUUGGAAUUUUGUAUUAAGUGAUAUUAUUUUACAAGGUGUUAAGAUAUUUGUAUUGGAGAGACAAAAAGAUAAGUUUUAAACCUAAAGGUGACAAGUGUCACCAUAAGAUUUAGUCUUGAGUUUGACUACUAUUCAUACCUUUACCAUUUAAUUAAAAUUGGCCAAAAAUCUCUUCAUUUCUUACCUCUCUUGGCCGAAUUUUCUUGCUCAAAGAAGAAAGAAAAGCUCUCAAUUUUCUAGUCUCCAAUCUUGCCCAAUCUUUCAAUUAAACCGAUUAAUCUUCCAAUUACUCCAUAAAACCUCUUAGUUUGGUGGAGUUGAACUUGGUUGUGAAGUUGUUUGGAAAGCUAAGGUGGCUAGUUGCUCUAUCUCUUGUAUUGCUAAGGUGAGUUGUGAAGAACCACCCUCCUCCCUUAAUUGAUGCUUAAAUCAUGAUUGGUGGUGGUAUAAGAUGCACUUUUAUGGAUUACAUCUUGAUUUUUGGUUGAAUUGGUGAAGUUUUAUAAUUUUUGGGGAUUUUUCUGUUUUCAUAUGAAUAUGAUUAUGGGAUCAUGUAUGAUGAUUGGAAAUGAUGUUUAAGGACUCUAUGAGGUGGAAAAAGUGGUUAAUUGCAAACAAUUUCUGUUUUGGAAGAAAUCUUGGAAAGUUAGGGUUUGAUGUUCUUCAUUCUGCCUGAAUUUGUAGCUCAUAGAUAGAUGCCGAAUUGGCCUUGUCUUAAAACAUGAAAGUUGUAGGGAAUGACAUUUUAGAGGUGCCUACAAAAUUUCAGGUCAAUCGGAGUAGUGUAGAAUGAGAAAAGUCGAAAUUACUAUUGCUGUUCUGGUUUUACUCGAAUGUAAGAAUUGCGCCUGUAAUUGGUUGUUUUGGUUGAGAAUGCUUCCGAAUUGGUUGUUGAGGUUUUCUGAUGAAAUGUAGCCCUGUUUCUUAGCUUUCAGUUGGUUUUGGAAUUUCUGGAUUUGGACUUGGAGAGCCUGAUUUAUGAUGUUUCCGCUAGAAUGCGUUUUGUGAACCUGUUUUUGUGAUUCUGGUGUAGUAUCUUGCAUUUUUGACCUGGUUACACUCGAAACUGGGUUGAGUGACCUUCUGUAAUAUUGUAACCCUAUCUCUUAGCUUCGAAACAGUGGGUCUUGCACCUUCAUCCGACCAUCGUAGUGCCUUUGGUACCAUUACCGCAAAAUGACGUCAAAACUAUUUUUCUGGUUUUGAGCUUAACUUUCAUUUCCGGACUUUUCCCUAGCUUGACUUGUACUAGUACUACUUGGAGCUUGCUGAAUGGCUAUUGGAUGAACUUGUUGUUGUGUGUGUACCUUUGGGGUUGGAAUGAGGAAAUAAUGAAGCCAUGAUGGCUGGAAAAGUUAGUAAAUUCAAGGGAAGUGCUGUCCGAACUUUGAAGGGACCUGUUUGCAUAGGGUUUGUGAUCUAAGACUUGGAUUUGAGCAAGGCAAUGAUAUAUGAUGGAUGAUUUCUGAGCCAUGGAAGUGAGUGACUUCAAACUAUUUCUAAAGUUAAUUAUGAACCGUUUCCUGCAUUAUUUACUUUUGAACUGUUUCCAAAGUUACUUUUGAACUGUUUUCUUGUCUUAUUUACUUUUGACCUGUUUCCAAAGUUACUUUUGAACUGUUUUCUUGCAUAUCAUGCGUGCUUGUAUGUGAGUGAUCAGGAUUUCUGUGUAACUCAAUACAAAAAUGAGUUUACUAUGAAUGGGCACUUAGGCGAGGGUGUACUUUAUCGUACUCGAUCUAAACCCUAUUAGUUGCUAUUAAUACCUGUGAAAUAUGAUUUUUAUGAUUUGUUAUAGAGCAUUCAUGGCUUGUGAAUAUUUUAGAGCAUUUAUUGCUCGUGGCUUGGGCAAGAGAAGUGAGCUGUGUAGCUCAGGAUCUUAAGGGUCAACCAGUGAUCAAACUCGACAAAAGAAUUGGCUUGGGAGCCACCCGUAUCCUUUUAAUGAAUGUUACUAUUGCUUCGCUUUCCAUUGUAAAUGUUUCUUGAAUUCUUGAUACUCCAUAUUUAAUGUUUUGUAAAUGUCGUAAUUGUUUCUGGACUUAUCAUUUGAUUUAUGACAUCAUUGAAAUGAACUAUUGUUAAACCGAUUUGAUUUCUGAUUUUACUGGUUACUCGCUGAGCUUUUAGCUCACCCCAAAACUAUUUUAUUCCCCUCCACAGGGCUCGUGGCGAAGGAAGGCUUGUUGUGAUUUUAUUGUUGUGGAAUUCCUCUUGUAUAAUCAUUGGGAUCAUGGAUCAGAGUAGCGCAGCGGAAGCGUGGACGCUUCGUUUUUUAUAUGUAAAUAUUGGAGAAUUUGAUGUAUAUUUGAGUUUUAUCUUGUAAUCUGUUUGAGGAAUGUAGUGAACGACUGAGUCCCGGCGAGAGCUGGGCAGGCGGCCCGCCGAACCCUCUGGUUCGCCUUAGGGGGAGGUGGGGCUGUCACAAGAAUUAAAUUUGAUUCUUUUUUUUUUGAAUCAAGAACACACAAGACACGAAGACACAGCGAACCAACAUCGAGAAAUUGUUAAAAAUUAAAAAAAAUUCAACACAACAAAAUCAGACAGCCAAGAAAUGAUGGAAAGACACAAAAACCCAAGUGAUAGAAACCUAGCGAUAGUAAAAUUUAUGAUUUUUGUUUAAUUGAACUAGACACAAAACACAAGAAAGAUAACACACAACCACAAAUUUUUUUUUUAGAUGAACAAUAAUGAUGAACAGUACAUGAACAGUGAUAGUGAACAGUAACAAUUUUUUUUGACACAAAAAUUGAAUUAAAAUUCAAAUGAGUGAUACAAAACACAAAGCAAAAAAGGAAUAUAACUUGGAUACUGUCAACCAAUUCUAUUGCCAGCUGAUACAAACCCAACCACAAAUUGGAAGAAUUUAUAUCCCACAAGCCCGGAUCUAGACAAUGUAUCAAAGUUUGAUGAAUUGAGCAGAAACCGAAACCCUAUAAACCCCUAUGUUAUGAACUAAAAUGAGAUCUUAACCCACAACAAUUGAUAGAUAAAACUUAGGUUGUUUGGUAGAAGGCGCUACAAAUAAGUGGGAUUCUUGUUUGAUAAGCCAAGCAAAUAUCUAGAACAAAUUCUAAGAUAUUCAAAGAUUGCUUCAAGAAGCUUAGAGAAACUCUUUCAAUUGUUGGAAAAUUCUACUUCUUGAUUGAUUAAAAACAUUGCAAGUUAGGGUUAUAAAUAGCCUUAUAAGACAUGAAAAACCUAAUCCAAUUUGGAAAUAAUACAAGUUUCCUAAUUCAACUAACAAGACACAAUUUCCUAAAACCUAAUUUGGCUCAUACAUGCUCAUACUUGGCUGAUUAUUUCACUAACUACUAAUGACUAAAUUAUCAAUAAAAACACUUUAAAUAACACAACAAUUCAAGACUUAAACACCAACAUAAGUCAAUGUGAAGUCGGUUUAACUAUAGUUGGCUUCAUUCAACUCUUCCACCACUUGAAUGAGAUGAACAAGUUUCCAAUUUGCAUUCUCAAGUCCCUCAAUAUGUUUUGGGACAAUUUCUUGACUUUGAAUUAUGGGAACCAGAAGUCUUCACGCAUGUUAGGAGUGCCUGUGUCUAACUCUAUUUUCAACUUGAAGCAAAUUAAUACUUGAAUUAGGAUUUUGAUGGAAUUUAUCGGACACUCGACCCCUCCAAUGCUUCGAUAAACUCCAACUUGAUCUUGAAUCACAUGUACCAAAAUCCAAGUGACUCUCUUAGCUUUCCUACUCAUAUCAGUUGCCCCCAUGGAACGUGGAAUAGAAGCACACUACAUGACAUGAUCAUAUUCAUAGAAAAUUAUUGUUAAUCAUAUAACAUAUCCAUCAUGUCAUUUCAUUUCAUAAAACAUAACUCAUAAACAAGUAUAUGCAAUAUAUGGCUUUCGGGUACUCAGUCUAGAGAUUAAACCCCUUCUAGGAGUGUGACCACAAAACAUAACAUAAGUCAAUUGACUAGGCACAAUGGCUACCAUGACUGCCAAUCAAUUGGGCAUAACAGCUACCAUGAUAAUGUAACAUAAUAGGACUAUAAUCCCCGCCACCUAUUUUAUGGCCGUUUAGAGUUUUUCGUAACAUAAAUUCAUUUCACACAUCACAUGCAUUUUUCUUUCAUUUCAUGAAAAUAUGCUCCUCAUUUCACAUUUCAUAGCAUAACAAAAUAGUUCAAAUAGGCUUAAAUGAUCCGUUUUACACAUAGCAAGGUAUGAUUUUGAUGUGAGAAAAUUCAUAUUUAAUAUUUUAGAAAAACAUAGAGGGGUAAGCACCGCCACCUCAAACUAUUUAAUUGAAGAGAUUCUAAACGUGCCCUUGAACUUGUCUUCGACCUAUAACUAGUGUUAUAUACAUUGUGAUGGCCCCACUUUCUCCUAGAGCAUACCCUAGAAGUUAGCGAACCACCCACCUGGCUCUCACCAGGACUCAUUCACUAAUAUUAAUUUCAGAGAUAACAAUUCUCAUUAAUCAUCCAAACAUCCAUUCUUAAUACUUCUUAGUAAGACAAAAGCUUUAUCCACUACAAAUUAUAAAGGUGAAUCGUCCAAACGUUCAUUCUUAAGUACAUCACUUAAGUAUAUCACCAACUAGUGUGAAAUAUAAAUCUAUCCGUUAAGAGAUACAAAAUGCAGGUCUUAACAGCAAUAUAUAACAUUAGACCUCCCAAAACAGUCUAACUCUACUUGAUCAUCCUUCAAACUUCAACCCCUGUAAGGAAAACAAAGCUAAAGGGUUGAGCUAAAGGUCAGUGAGGUUCCACACAAGCAACAAUCAAUUAAACACUUAAACAAGUAGCAAAAUUAAACAAUUAAGGAAACACUUCACUGAAUGAAUUAGAGAACACUUCACUGAACAAUCACUUUUAAAAGGAUACGGUGCUCGCAUUAGAGUCACUUCAAUGCACUACACACUCCACCGAACUCCUCCUUAUAACCUCCAAAACAGUAAACACUUCCCUCACUUAGAUGGCCAUAUCAAUAUCAGUAAUCUGCUACUCCGUGAUAGUACUUGAGCAUACCAAUACACUUACCCGAAGCUACUGUCCUAUCUGACCAAGCCUUUUUGCUGGCUCGAAUAGUCUGUUGAACAAAGGGUUUUAGGACCCAGUUCAGCCGGUGUGGUAAAGUACACACACACGGCUUAUAGUCAUGCACACUUACAAUAACAUUUAGCCAAUUAUCAACCUUCAACCUUAACUAAGCCAAGUACGAUAAAGUACACCCUCGACUUAGAAGGCGAGGGACAAUUGAGAUACACUUUACAAUGAAUCACUUAACAAUAUUUCAUAAUAAACACAUUUAUCACAUAAUUCCACGUAAGUAAACAUAAAUAGUUAAACACAAAAAUUUGGAAACACUCACCAAGUUUUCAAAUAAAUCACUCUUAAACUUUGAGUUUGUUUCUUGGCUCACUGCUACUUCCUGACACAAGUUUAUAAUUCUAAAGUAAGUAGACAAUUUGUAAAGGUUCGCUUAUCAUUUAUUAUCCUAUUAUUUGAACUAUUAAAAUCAAGUUUGACUUUAAGAUACAAUUCAUAUAUUAUCACUUAUCAUUUGUUACUUUAUGAUUUAAACUACUAAGUCAAGUUGAGCUUUAUAAAACAAAUCAUUUGUUACUUUAUCAUUUGUUACUUUAUAAAACAAGAUAUAACAAAUCCAACACCUAUCUCACAUUUCACCUCAAAACUUAUCAACUUUAUCAAUUUUAAACUAAAGAAAUAUAUAUAUAUAUAUAUUCCAAGUUUAAAGUCUUGUAAGAUGUUUAGACUAAGAUUAAUUCAUUUUCUAUCCAAUAUUCAAGGAUUAAGGGAAAUGAACUCUUCAUUUGUUCCAUUUAAGCUAAACCAGAUUCUAAGUUGUUUGUAGUUUGGGUUUUGUUCCACUACACCAGCCCCUCAAGUUUUUAGUUCUGUAAAAUGUUCAUGAAGACAAGGUUAAGAGGUUAUAAGCUGUUUUAUGUAUAUAAUUACAACAUGUUAUCUUAGAAUUUCCGAAAACAUCAUGGAAGACUUAACUCAUCACUGUUUUGGCCAGCAAGUAAAAUUUCCAGCAAUAUCAUUUCAAAAUGUUCAACAAAGCUCCACUGUUUACUUGCUUAAAACACUAAUCUCUUAGUAUACAUUCUGUCCAACAUAAAUCAAGGCAAAUAACACUUAAUUCCAGUAAAUGGAUCAGCCAAGAAAUCAUAUAUAUACUAAUCUGUAAUCAGCUAAGCGUAACAAUCAUCAAUUGGCAAUUCAACAUACGGCUGCUUCCUUAAUUUCUUCUAUGUUAACUCCAACUUAACAUGCAAAACAUGACUAUCAAGCUACAAAGUAGCCUUAAACAGAGCAUAUAAAAGUUCACAACUAAAAUUCGAAGGAAGAUUGAUUAAAUGUUCAUUUUUGUAUCUCGGCCUUCCUAACAGGUUCCAUCAGCUUUUAAUCAAGAAUUUUCCCAUUAGUCUCUUCAUUAUGCACUCAAAUCUAACAAGCAUGAUAAGAUGGAAAUGUUAUACAAUGAAUUAAACCUCAAUGUAGAAGUUUAGAACCAGAAUCCAUGAAGAACCUAGGAUAAUUUCUUAUUCUUUCCUUCGGCCAAGCCUAUCUGCAUUAGACUGAACUCAUCUGUCCUUCAAUGUUCACUUUAGUUUAUACUCAUUUCUGUCUUGCUUGAUGAAGUUAAGAUGCUUUAUGACACAUCACAUCUUAAUACAAAUGUUUAAAGGUCAAAUUUGCCGAAGACAGCUAGUGUUUCUUAGCUCCAUUUCCCUCGUGUGAAACUAACAGAUUUUCAUCGGGUUUCUUUCAAUAAUUUCAGCUUAAAGUUCCAACUUUUCACAAGUGUCUACAGCUAACCUUUUUUUAAUACUUAAAGUAGACAUAAUUCAUACAUUUCCUAUCUAUAGCUUCCAUCUUUCUCUGAAAACAAGCUGCUCAACUAGUACAUGUCUCUGUGACGACCCCACCUCCCUCUAGGGUGUAUCCCAGAGUUUAGCAGACCAUCUGCCCAACUCUCGUCAGGACUCGCUCACUUACAUCAAAUAAAAUAGUUCACAACCUCAAGCGUAAAUGGAAUAACAGUUCCCAAGUUUGGAAUGUACAUGUACAUUCAUUUCUAUUCCAAACAUUCAUACAAUCCCAAAUAUAACAAAAGAUAUGAAUUCCAGAUAAAUUCAAUCUUAACUGAGCACUAGCGCGAGUACAAUCGUAAAAAUUCAAAAACUAGACUAUGCUAGCCUGUACCAGUCUCACGCCCUCGCUCGUACCCCCUAUAAGGAAAACAAAUCUAAUAGAGUGAACUAAAUCUCAGUGAGGUUCCAAAACAUCAUGCAAAUCCAAAUAGCAAUUUGAUCAUGAUUUAAAAAUAUAAGUAUCAAAAUAGCGAGUAUAUGAAGUCAAAAAAAUAAGCAAUAACACUUCGUAAAGCCAAUCACUGGAUAUUUAACAUGUCAAGUAAAAGGAUACAACCCCUAUUACAAAAUAGCUCCGCCAUAGCUUGAUCAAAGAUAGUUGACACUCCAUCAACUUUCAAGUAAAGUAAUCAGUCCGCAGUGCCCCACUUAACGCCAAUCUCCGUCUACCAUUCAACCUCCUUACCGGGCCCGAACGCCAAGAUAAACAUGUGUGAUAAUACUUGAGCAUACCGAUUAGUCGAGAAGAUAACACUCCACUCGACAAAACAAAAGACCCACGGUUCGUUACCUAACCGACCAAACCCUUGCCAGUUCGAUUCAAGUAACUAGCCACAGGGUUUCUAGAAUUCCAAAGAGUGCUCACGUCAUACAAAAGUAUAUCAAGUCAAUUGUAACGAAUGAACAAGUAUAUAUCACAUUAGGCAAGUGUGAUAAAGUACACCCUUACCCGAUCAAACCAAGCAAAUAUUAUCCGAUCACAUUGGUAAAGAAUUUAAAUCAAGUAUCAAGUUUAAUCAUGUAUUUGGAAGCACUCACAAAAGACUUAGUGCUUUUCAAGUUUACGCUCAAGUGCAAGUCCUUGGUUGGAGUCCAAAUCUGCGAUAAAAUAUUAUUUAAGAGUUUGAAAUCAACUAGGGUUCAAAGCAUAGGAGUUUCGCUUAAAGAAAAUCAAUUAAAUGAAACUCGUUUAAGUAGUAUUUAUUUUGCUUAUCACACCCUAGAAAACUCAUGCUCGCUCUUUUAGUUUUGGUAAGGAAGCGAUUAAAACUUUUAAAUUCGCAAAGUGGUCUAAAAGACGAGGAAAACAUAUUUCGAGUGAUCGCUAUUUUCGCCUUUUAAAAGGUAUGAGUUUUGGCCAAAUUUCAGCUUAUAUACCUCGACUAACGGAAACUUGAACACCAAAGACAAUCUAAGUUCACUUCGAUCUCAAAUCGUCGUUCAAGUUUCAAGUUCACUCGCUUAUCUUUCGACUUAAAAUUUGGGCAGCAUUUUCCCUAUUUUCUUACUUUUUCCAUCCAAGUAUAACUUGGAUUCUGGAGAAAACUGUGUCAAAAACUCCUCAAGAGAAUGGAGUAGCAGAUAGGAUGAAUAGAUCCAUUACUGAGCGGGUCAGAUGCAUGCUCUCUAAUGCUAAAUUGUCAAAAUCCUUUUGGGGUGAAGCAAUGAGGACUGCAAUCGAUUUGAUUAAUCUUUCUCUAUCAGUUCCUCUAGAUGGUGACAUCCCAGAGAUAGUAGGGACGGAAAAAGAUGUAUCUUUUAAGCACUUGAGAGUUUUUGGUUGUUGGGCAUUUGUUCAUAUUUCCAAAGAUGAGAGGUCAAAAUUUGAUGUAAAAUCAAAGUAGUGUAUUUUCUUGGGUUAUGGACAUGAAGAUUUUGGUUAUAGGUUGUAUGAUCCUAUUGAUAAGAAGGCGAUCAGGAGCAGAGAUGUUGUCUUCUUUGAAGAUCAAACCAUUGAAGACAUUGGAAAAGGUGACAACCCAAAAUUCUCAGAUGAUAUUCCUACUAGUUCAAAUCCAGAUCCAGAUCGAGUUCUAGUACCUGUUGAUUUUAAUCAAGGGGGAGCUAAGACAAAGCAGAGAGAGGAUGUUGAUGAUGGUGAUAAUCUUGCUACUGAUGAACUUGAGCAUGAGGUGCCACCUACUCCAUUACCACCACCACGAGAUGAGUUUAAGAGAUUUACCAGAGAGAGGAGACCUUCUAACAGAUAUAAUUCUCAUGAAUAUGUGUUGUUAACAGAUGGAGGAGAGCCAAAGCCCUACUGUGAUGCUCUAGAGCAUGAGAACAAAGAAGAUUGGUUGCGAGCCAUGCAAGAGAAAAUGGUGUCUCUGCAUAAGAAUCACACUUAUGACUUAGUGAAACUGCCUAAAGGUAAGAGAGUUUUAAAGAACAAAUAGGUUUAUAGAUUGAAGACUCAGAAGCACAGCUCAUAACCAAAGUACAAAGCAAGAUUGGUUGUGAAGAGAUUUAACCAAAAGAAAGGUAUAGACUUUGAAGAAAUUUUCUCUCCCGUGGUAAAGAUGUCGUCAAUUCAAGUUGUUUUGAAUAUUGCAGCCAGUUUAAAUUUAGAGGUCGAACAACUUGAUGUGAAGACAGCCUUCCUGCAUGGUAACUUGGAAGAGGAGAUCUACAUGUGGCAAUCGGAGGGGUUCAAAGAAAUUGGUAAGGAAAAUCUUGUAUGUCGUCUCAAGAAGAGUUUAUAUGGGUUGAAACAGGCACCGAGAUAGUGGUACAAGAAAUUUGACCCCUUCAUGAUAGACCACGAGUACCACAAGACUACAUUUGAUCACUGUGUUUACGUGAAAAAUUUUUCAGAUGGUGAUUUUAUUAUUCUCUUGUUGUAUAUUGAUGACACAUUGAUUGUUGGCCGUAAUACUAUGAAAAUUGACAGAUUGAAAAAAGAGUUGAGUAAAUCUUUUACAAUGAAAAAUUUGGGUCCAACUAGACAGAUACUGGGGAUGAAAAUCUCACGAGACAGGCAAAAUGGAAAGCUUUGGUUGUCUCAAGAAAAGUAUAUUGAAAAGGUGCUUGACAGGUUUAAUAUGAGCAAAACUAAGGAAUGUUCUUUAUGCGUCGGCUGUUGGUAGUUUGAUGUAUGCCAUGAUUUGCAUCAGGCUAGAUAUUGCUCAUGCAGUUGGAGUAGUUAGUCGGUAUCUCUCCAAUCCUAGCAAGGAACAUUGGAAUGCUGUCAAAUGGAUUCUCAGGUAACUCAAAGGAACUUCCAAAUUGUGUUUGUGUUUCAGUAAUGGUAAAUCUAUAAUAGAUGGGUGCACUGAUGUAGAUAUAGUAGAUGAUCUUGAUAAUAGGAAAUCCACAUCUAGAUACUUGAUGAUUUUUGCAGGGGAAGCAGUGUCAUGGCAAAGUAAAUUACAAAAGUGCAUUGCCCUUUCCAGUACAGAGGCAGAGUAUAUCACAACCACUGAAGCAUGCAAGGAGAUUCUUUGGUUGCAGAAAUUCCUUCAAAAUUUGGGUAUGAAGCAAGAGAAGUAUAGUCUUUACUGUAACAGUUAGAGUGCCAUUCAUUUGUGUUAAAAUUCUACAUUUUACUCUCGGUCCAAACACAUUGAUGUGAGAUAUCAUUGGAUUUGGAAAGUACUGAAUUCCAAAUUAUUAAUACUUGAGAAAGUUCACAUUAAUGACAAUGGUGCUGAUAUACUGACCAAGGCGUUGCCUAAGGAGAAACUCCUAUUUUGCAGACAGGAAGCAGGUUUGACUAUACCCCCCAAAUGAGCUGGAGGGGGAGAUUGUUGGACUUGUGUGGGCCAACCCAUAUGUGGGCCAACCAAACACACAAGUGAACAAAACUUGAGGGUUUUUCAAGUAUAAAUACAAGCAGCAGCCGCGAGAGAAGUUUUCUUCUUUGGUGUGAAAAAAAGCUACAGUCGCCACUUUUCUUGUUUUUGAGAAAAACAAAGAGAGAGAAAGAGCUAGAGAGAGAGAGAGAAACUUCAAGGUCUUGAUUGGAGGGUGAUUCAAAUCCCGAUUGAGACGAAAUUUUACCCACGUGAUCCUCUCAUCAGGCUCUACUUAUCUAUUAGUUCAGAUUUUGGAUUUUCUCUCCAUUUGAUAACACCUUUCCAAACCUACUUCUUUGACAAUUAUAGUUUUUGGGGGUGAUUGUGCAGUAAUUUCGCUUGGUUGAUAUUGGUGAUACUAUUGUCAUCCGAAUAUUUCGGAUAGACCUGUGUAUUUUUAUUAUUAUAAUAAUAGAGAUUUUUUACUAGACUAAGUCCCGUGAUUUUUUCAAAUUUGGAUUUUCCACGUAAAAAAUCUUGGUGUUCUGUGCCUUUUAUUUUCUUGCAUUUUAUUAUCACUGCUGGCAUUAUUACUUGGUAAUUUGAUUUAUUCCUAUUUUAACUAGUACUUGGGAAAAAAGUAAUUUAUCUUGGGUUAACUCUAAUAUUGUGUGCCUGCACCGGUAUCCCUUUCCCAACAGACAUCACCGAUUAAAAAUGUGUUAUCAUGCCCAAAUCACACGACUGCAUAAUGAAAUGCAUGCAUUUCGUUAUGCAAAGCAUAUCAAAUUGCUUGGAUCUCAAACUCAAAAUGACAACUAAUGAGCCCACAAGGAAACUUUAAAUGAAUAUGUAUGCAACAAAGAUCAUGACUAAAUUGCUUAAAGAGAGUAUGAAACUAAAUCUCAAAAGUAUGCAUCGUUUAGUAAACUUACUCAAAUAUCCAAACUCCUUUCUUUUUUAUUUUAUUAAUAUGUUAAACAAAAGGCUUAGGAGAUAUACACAAUGUCCAAACCACGGUUAAAACCGUUAGUGUCUUAUUCAUUUGGGUUUGCAAAGAGCAUGUCCAUGAGAUACAUGCAAAAAAACUUUUAAUUUCCACAUCUAUUAUUGCAUAAUAUUGCUAAAAUCCUUUUCUUAAGUAUAAUAUCUUGGACCCUUCAAGUAGAGUGAAUAUUGCAUCAGGCACAACCAUCAAUAAUGCAUCACCAAGCAAACAGCUGAGAAACAACAAAAGUCCUAAUAAGAUCCCAUAUUUAAAAUAGAGAAAAUGAGUAAAGUAGAAAAGAAACCUAACUUACAUAGAAUGCAUAUUGGCUGGCCUUGAUUGGCUUCUUACAUGCAUUACAACAUACCUUCAGAACAAGCAACAAAAAUGAAUUAUGUAGCAUGAAUGAGAAUUCUGUACACAAGCAAUUAUGGCCAAUUAGAAUCAUUGGCAGGUUAAAGUCAUCAAAGGUCCGUUGAAUCUAUCGAGUAUCGAAUGCAAUAAAAAAAUGUAUUAAGAGUAAUUAUUUCACCAGUGGAAGCCAUAUAGAUGAAUAAUGACAACACUUUUUAGUAGUGAUUAAGAACAUAAGAUAUAAUUCAAUUAAAUUUCAAAUUCAAUAGAUGUGCUCAAAUAGUGGUUAGUGGUGAAACGCCACUUGAACCCAGAGCUAGCUGGUUGAAAAAAAAUGCAAUAUAACUGUUGUUAUGUUUUCUGAAAGGUUAGACUAUUUGAGCUUCACACAAACGUAUUUGCUAUUCUUGAACACCCAAUUUAACAUCCUAAGCCUUUCUCAUCAGGACUAAACAUUAUUAAAAGGAGUUUGAAGUAUCAAGAUGCUAGUGAUGAGAUAAUAUAAGCCAUUACAAAUUGAAUGCCACAAUCUCCAGAAUGCAGAAGAGUUUUAAUUUUUUGCACUUUGGGCAUGCAUAUAUUUUCAUUUUACAUUGAUAUGUAAAAGAUUAAGAUUUCUCCAAUGUAUAGACAAAACGCCCAAGGAUGCCAGAUAUCUUCGUACUUAGUACAUUAUCCACUAUUUUCAGUGUGAAUGUCAUCUAAUGUGUAAUAAAGGCAUUUGAAUACUUCCACCCCAACUCUACAAUAUUGUCAUAAGUAAUAAAACAUCAAGUUUGUGAAGUAGGCGUGAGAAGCAAGGCUGUGAACUAGCCUUUUAUGCCUUCUGAAUUUGUGCAUGCUCUAUCAAAGGAGCCAAUCGACCUUGAUGGCAAACUCUUCACUCAUAGAAACACUAUUAUGUACUAUAUAUAUGAGAAGCAAUCUAAAAUAGCAACUGAUGCAAGUCCAUAGGAAGAUCUGUUCUCCUUUCUCUAUUUGGUUUCUUUAAGUAAAGGAAUAUUCCAUGAGAAAAAAUUGGAGAAUUUUGCAAGGUAGAAAGUUUUCUUUCUUCUGUUUUCAAUUGGAGGUGGGGAAGAAGGAAUUAAAGGAAAUUUGGCCUAGUUACAACAUUUAACAAGUUAUCCUUAACACAAUCCUUCUUACAAUCCCAGUGCUACAAAAGAUGUUGUGCAACAAGUCAAAAGAGAAAGAUACAAAGCUUAUCAAAUGCAAUGGAUCUGUCAUCAGCCAUAAACCAAACAUGUGCAUAUCUACAAGACAAUCAUGAAGGCAAAUCUAGAAAAGAUAUUGGUUCUAAUCAAGCACUUGCAGCUCAUAAAUAUUGCAGAUGUAGACAUAAUUCACAAGCAGCUCUUCCAUUAUUGAUGGCCAUUCAUUACUAAAGUGAUACUUAGCCAAAUCUACAAAUAUGUCAUCUGAUUUUCUUUCCCAUAUCAAGAAGUCAUUAUUAUGAAGUGUAUGCGUAUAUUGAACAAUGCUAUUCAGUCAAAACAGAUAAAGAGCAAACUCUAAGACAUUUUUUUAUGGAUAUUUAUCUGUACACUAAUCAGUGUUAACUCUUUAUUCCUCUAAUUUUUGUCGCUUGGAUUGGGUCUAGUCAUGUUGCACCAGAUGGAAUCUAAAAAUCUUCUUUGUCAGUGGAGUACAUAAAGUCUUUCACAAGGGUUCAGGGUCUUAGAUUAAUCUCCUAUUAUCUACUCCAGAAUUUACAUAGAAAGUUCCUAUUUCUUUCUGAUUACCAAUUUCUUAUGAUAUCUGAUCAUUAUAAGUCUAGUAAUCACACCAAAGUGCGGCCAUUUCUUAAUAAAUAUCAUUCAAAAUUAGUACAGAUCACAAUUUGAUAAACCGAUUACUAUCUUAUUUUGAUGCGUAAUAGUAUUUGACAAAUGUUUUAUAUCAAUAAACCAAGAGAAACACUUAGCCAAAAAGUCAACAAUUUCAAUAUCUCUACCACAUAUGACUACAUAUAUUUAGAAAAAAAAAAAAAAAAAAAAAAGCAAAAACCAACCUGCAAAUGAAAAGGACCCUUAUCCAAAGCUCUUUCUCUUCCACCAAAAAGCUCAAUUUUAAAAAAGAAAAUAACAACAAAAUUGUUAGAAACUGUAUAUCUUUAUGCACUUGUUACUGAUUUGCUCUCAAUAUUAUGCGUGAAAAAAUCAAAUUUGAAAGAGUAAGGAAACUUUCUUACCAAACAAAAACAACUACUGGCAGAAAAAGGAGCUCUCUUCCAAACAGAAAUUCUUCAAACAAAAAAGUAAUAACUAUUACAUCGAUACUUCCCCUUUUUUUUCCUUUCCUAAACCUAAAAACCUAAAUAACUACCCUCUCUCUUUCUAUCACAUCAAAUCCCGAAAAAUAGAAUUUAAAAUGAUGGUUCUUGUGGAAGAACCAAAUCCAGUACGCAUGACGCAAAUUAGACAGCUGACCAUUUUCUGGGGAAAAAUCCCUGAAUUUCAGGCAAAAAGGAGAUGGCUAAUCUACGAGGAAUUUCAAGGAUUCCAUGUUUCCAGGUACAAUCGACAUGUGAGGAAGUCAUUUCUACUACAAGAACUUAAAAGUAUUCUCUAGUGUUCUCGGCAAAAGCAGAAGAGGAGAAAUUGGCUCCGUUUGUUUUUUGCAAUAGGGAAGAAGAAGCAAGAGCAUAUUGUGUUAAUUCCAUAUAAUUCAAUGGGCCAACACCGGACAACACACAAACAGUCCAUAAAUUCCUUUGGACAUCUUAGAAUAACAAAAGCUUGAAACCCAUCAAACAGAGCAAAAUUUCUUCUUCAAAAAAAUCAGCAUGUGUCAAGUAUCAAAUAAGCAGUAAACCAGUUGUCAAGAGGGGAAGUAACUACAGUAAAAAAAAACACUCUCUUUUUAUUAUACUUGAGGGAUAUAAGAAAAAAUUGCUGUUUGACCAAAAAAAAAUUAGAGAACAUAGGACAAGUUUGUGGAUCCGAGUAAAGUACCCAGUAACUUUGCCACACAACAUGAAUGCCUGACAUCUUCAUUUUAUUAUUGUUCAGGGUGUACCUGGUUGACCUCAAUCUUCAAGUCUCCAACAUUCGCUGAAAAUUUGAGUAAGAAAGGUUCAUCAAGACUCAACAAACAGAUGUCUGAACUGUCAGCGCUAUCGGGUGAAACCCAGCCAUUUCUUCUUUCUUGGCAGCAAAGAGAACCUCCAAGCGAAAGGCAAAUCACUCAAAACAGAUGGAAAACAUAAGCAACAACAUCUGCACUCACCAGUCAGAUUCCAUCGCAGCUACAUCCCAGAGUCAACUACCCUCUGCUUCAAGUCAAGAUUCAGACCCACUGACAAUCUCCAGCCUUCCACACGACCUCAUCUCUGAGAUCCUCUUAAGGCUGCCAAUGAAUUCCCUCAUGAAAUUCAAGUGCGUUUCAAAAUCAUGGCUUUCCUUAAUUAAAAGCCAGCGCUUCAUCAAAGCCCAUCUCAACUUCAUCAAUUCCUCAACAAACAGCCAAAGGGUGCUCAUUUUGAGGUGUGUUGACUGGAAUUAUUAUCUCAAACAUUGUUCUCUUAGCUCAUUAUUAUAUGCACCAGCUACUGAUACAGUUGACAUUGAUUAUCCCCCAUUUGAAGCACCCUUUAAUUUUGUUUCAGUUGUGGGGUGCUGUGAUGGAUUAAUUUGUAUUUCCGUUAGGGCAAGUAACAUAAUUUUGUGGAACCCAUCUACUCGAAAAUCCAAGAAAGUACCAGAUUUAGGCAUUAGGCUUGAAGAGGAUGAACGUUAUACAUCAUGGGACUUUGAGUAUUAUAUAUCAUGGGGUUUUGGAUAUGACGAGAUUAAUGAUGAUUACAAAGUGGCAGCGGUGGUGUGCGUUGUUGAUGACCAUGGUGAGCCCUCUGGGUCUGAGGUUAAGGUCUAUAGCACAAAGAGUGAAACUUGGAGGAGUAUAGGGGAUUUUCAAGGUGGUUAUCCUUUGGAGGAAUACGGUAGGUUUGUGAAUGGGAAGCUUCAUUGGUCACUGGAUAGAGAAGAUUGUGGAUAUAUUGGUUCUCUUGAUUUAGCAACAGGUAUGUAUGGACAGAUAAAGAAACCUAAAUGUGAUGAAGAUUCUGAGUCUGAGCUUGAGUCAACCUUGUAUGUUUUCCAAGGGUGCCUCUGUUUACUUUGUGAUGAGAAUGAUGAUCAUACGGAUGUUUGGAUUAUGAAGGAAUAUGGGGUUACAGAAUCGUGGACUAAGGUGUUCACUAUCCUGAUUAAUAAACCGAGCAGGAGUUCAGUUUUUACACCAUUGUGCCGAUCAGAGAAGGGUGAAGUUUUACUGUUACUUGGAUCCAAAUUGGUACUCUACAAUCCAGAGAAUGCUACAUGUGUUGAUAUUUCAUUUCGAGAUCAAGAGAUAAGAGCUUAUUAUGCAUUUGUUUACACAGAAAGCCUAGUUUCGCCUUGCUACUAAUGAUGCAACAGAGAAGCAACAGCAACAAGUAGGGGAAAGCAACCAACACAAGACAAUUGAAUACCAUCAAGCUACCAUCUCGAUUAAAAAAAAAAAAAAAUUGUCCUCCUUUUCCAAUUACCAAGAUGAACAAUUGAAUACCAUCAAGCUACCAUCUUGUUAAAAACUAAAAAAAAAUGUCCUCCUUUUCCAAUUGAUGAAAUUGUUGUUGUCCGGACAACUUGAUUGUGCAUUUUGUGGCACUCGACUACAUAUAGUACAUUUUAAUUCUUGCAGCAUUUUCUUUCUUUAACACAUUUGAUAAUUGAUGAUGUUACAGUCAGCAGCUCGAAUUGCAUUAGUUUUUGUGUGUUUAUUCAUUUUCUUAUUUAUUUUAUGUAAUCUCUAUAUCUUUAUUGAUAGGCAAAAUCACAUACACCAGAUAAGGUGCAUAUCGAACGCUCAAAUUCUCUGAACAAGCAUGAAAUAAAGAAUCAGUAUCCAUACAAGAAAGCAUGUAAAUAGUGGGGCUAAUUCAGUAGUACAUUUAGCAACAGGAGGCUGCUGUAAUUUGUUUCGAUCUCGUUCCCUUGCCAAGCUUAGAUUAAAAUGGCAAUAUAUGCCAACAGAAACUUAGGGACUGAUCUCUCUUCUGGCUUCAUGUUCACUUUUGUACGAUGUUAAAAUUGCAUACAUUCGAAUGGUUCUUCUGUGAUAGUUACUUCAUGAUGCAAAAGUGUAACUUAGGUCCAAAUCACUAUAACUUUGUUGAUACUAUGACGUCCAUAGUAGAAGGAAGGACUUUCUAGAAGGAGAAAGCCUGUAAUUCCCUAGAACUACUAGCUUUUUAGACCUCAAGCAAUUUGUUGUUCAAGAAAACAGGUAAACUUCUAACUAGAACAAGAAAAAGAGACACAAGGACCGUUAAAGCUUAAAGCUCCUUGCCUGGUUGCUGUGAACUCUAGCCAAAGCAGACCUCGCCAUGGCAGGAAAAAGAAACCCAACUUGGAGGCUCAAAUCCUAGACUCAACCUGCUAUAAUCAAACAAACCCAACUUGGAGACUCAAAUCCUAGACGCUUGAGUUUCCUUCGUUUCCACCCAAAAUUUGAACAUUUCCAAGUUUCAGAGCUUCGCUGUAAAACUCAUCACUUGAUUGCUCCAAAGACUCCAAGUAAAGUCUCACUAAGUUAUAGCGUGUCUAAAAAAACCGCUUUCAUUAUUAUCAAGUUCAUAAUUCAUGAAAUUCCGCAUCAAAAUAUCCCUAGAUAAGCAUGAUUGCGCCCAUCUUAGGCUCAUGUUUAGCAAUUGCAGUCCAAGUGUUUGUUUUAAGGACUGUAGUAGUCUCCAGUCUUUACCAACUGAACCGUUCACCAAUUUAAUUGACACAAAGUUCUCGUCUUUUUGCUUGUGUUAUUGUAUUGGGUUGAUUUUUGUUCUGGAAUAGGGAUGAUUUAUACCUUUGGGACCUGUGAUUUUUGAAAAUAAUAGUUAGGAUUCUUGUGCACUAGCUUUUGGUAAGUUUGCUAGGUGAGACGCAAAGGUGGCUAAUUUUGGGACGAGGGUAAAGUGGUUUACAAGAGGGGUUCGGUUGUACUGCUCAGCCAAUGUUUGCUUUAAUUUGGUGCUACGUACAUUGGUGUCAGGAAAGAUACUUAUGGAGAGUUCAUGCUACCUAAUUAUGAAAAGGAGGAUGGUAGCUGUGUUUCAGCAUAGGAGUGUUGGGAGUAACUCGCUGCCUGCUUUAGAUAAUUAUACAAGAAGUCAGAUACAUUGUUGAUUGAGUAUAAGAUGAAAUAUUAUGGAAUGAAGUAAUUGUUGUGCGCUAUGAAAUGGUUCUGGUGUUGAAUGUUGGAUCCCAGCAUUUUGCCUUUUAGAUUAUGGUGAAGCAUGUUUUAUCCAUUUAUAAUCCAGAUGAUGGAUCAUUCAGGUUUCUGAGAUAACAAAUUAUUGAUGUGUUAGGCGGCAUAUUUGUAUUGAAAGCCUAGUUUCCUUUGCGGCUGAUUAUGGAACAGAGGAUUAAUUUACCAAUGACUGGGUAAGAGAACUACAUUAACGUAAGUGAUUCCUGUGGCUUGCCCACACAUACAACUUUGCUUCCUCUGUUGCAUCAAAAGUGCCCUAUAACAUCAAAUAUUUCUUUUCGGUCAUGAGGUAUCAACUUUUUCACCUAAGAAUAUCUAACUCCAAUAUGACAUGAACAUUUGCACUAUUAUUCCAAAAAUUCUCAGCAUAGCUUUCUAGGAAUUCUGUUGUCAGGAAGGCGAUUAGUUGGAAUCAGUAUAUAUAUCAUCUGCUUAUGUAUAAUUGUAUCUGAACUACAAUUUCUUUGUGCUCUACACUAUUCAGUUUAAUGUUUGGGUAUCAAUUAUUAACUAACCCCAGGAUUGGGCUGCAUCAGACUUUGCAUAUAUUCUAUGUCUGUUGUUUGGCACGCGUUUGACCUUCUUGGGACUUAAUCGCAGAAAGUGAUUACCUUCUUGUCAAAUUCCUAGUUAAUUGAUUGGCAGGCAUGUUUCAAAAACUUUGCUAAUUGCUAAGAGGCUUGUAUGUCAAUGGAUUAAAAAGGAAACAGCAUUCAAGAGUAUUGAAUUGAAGUGGUGCUCAUUUUGAUAAUUCCUUCAUUGUUCAUUGAGUCACAUUUGAAUUUUCUUUUCUUCCUUGACCUGCAUUUUUAGGGGGGAGUAGGGUGGUGUUAAUGGGUACUUUUAUGCCUUUGCAGUAUUGGAUUGAAUUGCUGCUCAUUUUGAAGAUUCCUUCAUUGUUCAUUGAGUCGCAUUUGUAUUUUCUUUCCUUCCUUGUCCUGCGUUUUUUGGGGAGGAGUAGGGUGCUGUUAAUGGGUACUGCUUUGCCUUGAUUCUCUGUUAAUAUGAAAAUAGAAGGGAACAUAACGCUCUCAUUAUACUGAUAGCACGAUUCAUUUCCUUACGUAAAGUCAAUCAUCGAAUAUUGAGAGAGAGAGCCAUAAACAAUUUACCAAGAAAAGGACGUCCAAGCAUCCUGGAAGACCCUGAAAUGUAUUUGCACAAAGUUUAUCACAUGUUCUGCCUGUGGAUUCAAGUCUGGAACUUCUUUUUGCUGAAGUAGUUGCCUUUCCAGUUGGUAAACAAUCUGCUGUAGACCAGAACCGAAACACUAGAUAAAGUUUAUUAAAGGAAACACAUCUUCAUACUUGCGGAACAUUGAUGAGUAAUAAGCCAAGGAGAACACUAACUGUACAGCGCAUGGGAUAAGUAUUGGUCUAUAGUGGGUACUGUGGCCUUGAUUUGUAUCUACCAUCUUCUGCCUACCAUCUUUUGCUUGACUAAUGAUGUUCCACUUAUCAUGAGAAUGGUUUAUACAAUACCUAAUACCUAAUCCUAAUCCUGGUGGGGAAUUGAAGAACGCUAAUCUGCUGACUAAGUCCUUUUAGGGGUAAAUUGAGUUAUGGUACUUCAGGUGCAAGCAUGCUUUACAGAAUGCCAAAUGAGAGAGGUGUAACGAAACAGGAAAAAGAAAGAGAUAAAACUCACGAGGGAUUGAUAUGAAAACAGGAGGAAGAAAGGGCUCAUAAAGGACUGCAAUAAGCCACGCGUUCCUGCAUCAAAUAGGCUAUUUAGUGUUUCCAUUUUGAGAAUCAAAUUGAUGGACAGAAAAAUUUAAAUACAAGAUUUUGAAGGAAAUGAAUGUAAAGAAUUUGAAGCACAUAAUGUGACUUCUGAAUGUAUUGACUUCUCAAAGAUUCAGAGCAUUGGCCGAAUGUAUAAUCAAUUUCAUUACUCUAAUAUCAGAUAGUUCUCUUUCGGUGGAUUGAGUAACAAUUCUGGUUCAUGGCUGCAAUUUCUGGAUAUUUUGCUAUUUGACUUUGAAUUUCUUCUGUUAAGCAUUAGCAUCAGCUGUAUUUCUAUCUACAAAACAAAAAAAAAAUGGAACAUAGUAGACUUGAAAUAUUAACAGUUAGAAUAAGUCUUACAGGAAACUAGUCCAAAUUCAUUGAGACGUGAUUUUGAAGCUGGCAUACCAUGCUUGCUUGUCAUCUUGCACCACCAUGGAGAUCAUGGCGGUUUUACAAAUUUAUGCUAGAGGCAUGAACGAAUGUCUCUAUACUGGAAUCAAUCUUCUCAUUUCUGUUGGAAGCAUCCGGAAAACUUGUAUUACAUUAAACAUGAAAUACUUAAAGGCUGCCUCCAGAAAGCUAAUUAUCUGAACUUCCCUAUCUUUUGUAUGCAAGAAGGCGGUGGGUGCUAGAACUAGCAGCAGACCCUACUCUAUCAGAUUUUUGUAGCGAGCAGAGGCUUACUUGACGGUAUUAAUUUACCAGAUGCCAUGAGGCGGUGCUGAGAUCAUAAAGUUUGGUUGGCUUGAUAGCAAAAUUAUUGCAUUUGCUGGGUUAAUACAUAUGUGAAAAAGUGUGAGCCUGAGAAGUUGCAUCCCGGUAAAAAGAAUUCAGCAUUUUAUCUGUUAAUGACGUGAAUUUAUUGUGUACACGAGUAAUACAAUGUCUAAGAAAUCUAUUUUCCAAAAACAUGACUCUGUAAGUUGUUUCCAUUUAUAUCUUGCACAGGACCAGGGACCUCCCCCCAACACCUAACGGAUUUCCAAACUUGUAAAUCAAAUUUUUUUGGAGCAUGACAUGAAAUGCUAUGAUCAACACUAAGUUGAUGGAUUUUGUUGAAAUAAGAGCAUCUUAUUCUGUCCUCAACCAGACAAGUGAACAUAAUAUAGGAUCUUGAAAGUUUAAAACCAAUAAUUGAGGUGGCUUAGGAAAAAAUAUGAAGUCAACUAAAGUCAAUUGCAUAUCAUAGACAAGGAGCUGAAGCGAUAAACAACCACGUAAUAUUGGUUUCUGAGAUAACAUCCAAUACUCACCAAGAGCUCGAGCAAUCCUCAUCUGGCCUGCUGCUAUUGAUUGCCUUCGACUUCUUCAAGGUAAGAUGAAUAACGAAGAAAACCUUGAAGAUCAAACUUCAAACGCUACCACGGACAGCCAGAUUGCUAGAUCACAAGAUUCAGACCAAUCCAUCCUCCCAAACCUCCCCUUUGAACUCAUCACUGAGAUCCUCCUAAGGCUACCAGUCAAGUCUCUCCUGAAAUUCAGGUGUGUUUCGAAAUCUUGGCUUUCUUUGACCUUUAGCUCACGAUUCAUCAAAGCCCACCUCAAGUUGUCUGAUGAUGAUAAGGAAUACACUCAUCACAAGGUCAUUUUACUUGAUUUAUCACAUACUAUUGUCAAGUCUUGUUCUCUUCAAUCUUUUCUUGAUACACCACCGGCUGAUCUUGCAACUAAUGUUUCACUCCCAGAGGAAUUAGUCAAGCAUUCAUUUUGUAUGGUGGGCUCUUGUGAUGGAUUGAUUUGCCUUGAGGUUAGGUAUGAUUUGUACUUGUGGAACCCUUGUACAAGAAAGUGCAAGAAAUUGCCUGGGCCUACUUUUGAAAGGAGACCUGGAUGGUUUUAUUGUGUCUACGGGUUUGGAUAUGACAAGUCUAGUGAUGAUUAUAAAGUAGUAGCCAUCUUAGCAGAGAGAUCAAAACUGGAUGGUGUAUACCGUGUCACGCAAGUGAGGAUUUACAGUAUAAGCACUGAUUCCUGGAGGAGUAUCGAAAAUUUUAGGGAAGGAGUAGAAUUGGACAAACCAGGAAAGCUUUUUAAUGGGAAGCUGCACUGGGCGAUACGUCUUUGUGUUGUUUCAAUUAAUUUAGAAAAUGAGAUGUGUGAGGAGUUUGAGCUGCCUUAUUACGGAGAACAUGGAAUUGAUCUAGCAUUAGGGGAAUUCGAAGGAAAAUUUGCUGUGCUCUGUCAUCAUUACCCUACUGUUGAUGUGUGGGUUAUGAAGGAGUAUGGAGUUAAAGAGUCUUGGACCAAGAUCUUUAAUGUCGAAGAUGGAGAUAAUCUUUGGCAUAAUUUUUAUUCCCCACCACUAUUUUUUCAAAAGAAAAAUGGUGAAGUUGUUGUCUUACAUGGAUCGAUUCUGAUGGUAUAUGCUGACAAUAACCCUCAACUUAAAAGAUUCGAUGGAUAUGCUGAAGCAAAUAUCUAUGUUGAAAGCUUGGUUCAACCGUGGCUUAUAAGAGGAUAUAGCAGUGACAGUGGUCAAAGAGGCUAAUUGAACUAUUGAAGUAACUGCUUUAAGCAAUCUUAAUAUGCAAGUAAUCACUGUAAGGAUCAUUCCCACAGAACUACUUGUUUGUUCAACUCCAUAAAUUCAUCUUAGCAAUCUGAUAGAUAAUGCUUCUUGUCCUGAUCAGCUUCUUCUUCUGGUAGUUUUUGGUUGACUUGGCAAGUACAUCCUAUCUUGUUGCAAAUUUCUUUCUUGGUUGUCUUAUGUUUACAGGCUAAUUUGAGCUAUAAUUUGGGGCAUUCAUCGCAACGCAUAGAUCCGACUUGAUGCUCCUCUGUUGCUUGUGUUGUUACUCCCUGAUGUAAUACGCUACAUCGGAGUUAAGAAUAAAGUUGCUAGUGGUUAACAAUCAGGUCAACAAUGUCCCAAGAAGAUGGUUAAAGUUCACCUCUGAUGCACCUGUGCUGCUGUCUCACACAUGGUCUUUUGGGGUAUGCUGAAUGCAGCAUGUCCAACUCAAUCUGCACCUUGUACCUGAUGAUUUCUGUUGGUCACUUGGAGAAGGUGAUCAGAGUUUUAUUGUAUUGAGUUAGAUAAUUUUGCAAUGCAGAAGAAAAUGAAAUCCCACUUGAGUCAUUGUUUCAGUCCCUCAAAGUCUCAACUCUAUGAUCUUGUAGCUUGAUAAUCUGCUGGUCCAUGUGAAGUUCCUAAUACAGAACCCAUAAUAAUGCUUCCAAAUUGUUGCUGCAGAUUCUUGUGGAGAUUCCUGUCUCCAGCUUAAACAUUUGUAGUACAUUAUGGUAUCGAAACCAUUGGGAAUCAAAGAUUUUAGUUUGAAGAUUGGUAAUUGACAGGAAGAUACUUCAUUGUAUCUAUUUUAUGGUUUGCACAUUAUUGAUAUCUUAAAUCAGAAUUCUCUUUUUUUUUUAUCAAUGAACAAUUAUUAAUCUUUGAUUUAUCACAAAUUGAUUUCCGUUUUUUGCAUAAUUUGCUAAAGGUUAGGGGAAGGGAAUAAUGAGGUUAAAAUGUUCCACAAGCUCAUUGAAAUGUUCAAUUCACCACAUAGGCUAAAGUAGUUAAACAAUUACAACCCUGAUUUGUUAAUAGAAAUGAGAAAUGAUUCACUAGAAGAAAUUCAUUGCUGUGAUCUACUUUUUAAUGUGGCUUUGAUUCUUAAAUUAAUUAAGAAAUUGGCCAGGAUGUAGGCCAGAAUAGUACCAUAGAAUUUAACUAUGAAUUUUAAAAUUCAACUUAAGAAGUAAUUAAAUGCUUUGAACAGAUAAAAUUAUGCUUACUCUUUUUUAUUUUUCAAAUUAUUGCUGUUGUAAUUAAGUUUUUUUUUUUUUUUUGACCUUUUUUCGUCUUGCCUUCCUACUGUAUACCGGAGUUGGGGAGCUGCAUGAAAGCCUAAGAGGAGAAGUUUGGAAGUUUCACAAGUUCGAACGGGAAAAGAGGUAUUAUUUUUGUGGGCCGAUCCUGAUUUGCCUGGACGUGUUUGUGCAAUAACCAUGGGAAUGACCUUGGGCUGGCCCAAACAUAUAUUGCUAUGUGGAAAAUUGAAAUCAAGAUGGCCUUGUAGUUUUAACAAUUGCACCGACUUUUCCUGUUUGUACUAUUUCAGUAACAAUAUAAACCCAGCAGCCUAUAAUGAUCCUUAAAAAUCCUAAAAUAUCCCAUAUGUUAGUGGGGGAAAAGCCACUCGUCACUUUCAUCCUCGCUGCAACCAUUGCAAAUGGCAGAUCCACCACGCUAACCAACUCAUCAGCCACUAAAAUUGGAUUUUCAGAUUCCCAAAAUUUUUGACAAUUCAAAACCAUCCAUUGUUACCCUAAAACUGCCAAUUCAAAUCAACUAUAACUACUACCUCCAAAACUCAAAUUUUGCCAACCACCUAAUCCUUAGCCUCGAUUUUUUGGCGACUGACAUCAAAAGAAACUCUUCUGACAUCCUAGAAAAUCUUUGUUUUUUCACAAAUUUGGAUGAUAGCGUAACUUCCAAUUCCUCUUUCUACUUUUUGCCAUCACUUUUGUUUUCUAAUCUCUUUUAUUAUCAUCCUUUUAUCCGCACCAACAACUUGUAAUUUGGGAAUUUCAAUUUGAUAAUUUUCCCAAUUUAUUUAUAAUGGAGAAGAUCUGAUGAUAUGAUACAAAGAUUGGGAUGAAAUGCACAAUAGUGAAACAAACUGUGGUUAUAGCUAAGGAAGGAAAAAAUAGAGGAGUAGGAGGAAGAGAGAGCUGCCGUUCGUUAAGGAUAGAAGACUGACCGUAGUUGCAAGGCAUCAGUUAUUCAAUUUUUGCUGUAUGAGAUUAUGUAAAAGUAAAGGUUAUUGUAGUCAUUUUACCGCUUGGAGGGCAGUCAGUGUAAUUACUUAAACCUGAGGGCAGCUGAGCGAAAUUGUCAAGAACCUUGGGAAAGGUUUCUAAAAUUAUCCCUUUUAAAAUACUUGGGUACCUUUCUAUUGAGUCCAAUUUGCUCCCGAAUAACUAACAUUACUUAGUGAACGAAUAUUGCAAUCAUAAACCAACUGAUUUUUCAAUAACUUGAAUGUGUAUUCUCAUUUUUCUUCCUUGUCUUUCUCCCUGAGAAUUUGCUUUUUGAUUCUGCAAGCUGGUAGACAUGUUGAUUGUCAAAUAUUUUUAAUUAAGAAACAGAAGGGUUGAAUGGAAAUAAGAUUUUUGGCACCAUCGGUACUAUUCUGCUGGUUAUGAUGAGAAGCAACUUCACAAAUUCACGGCUUUUUUUGGGAUUAGGGACACAAAUGAUUGUCAGAUCAACUAUUUUUUUAUCAGUUUUGUCAACUUCUACAAGAUGUCUAUUCAUUUCUUUAGGGUGUAAUUCACUUUGAAUAUGAAAUAAACAUAGAACAAAUUUUUGUGAAUCUCACACAUAACAUUCAAAAUGAUAUAUAUGCAGUGAUCUAAGUGUUACAUUUUUUCAGAGUUCACCUAUAAAAAAUGACAAUAAAUCAUGAUAUUAUUAAACGAUAGACACUGUGACAGCCCCACCUCCCCCUAAGGCGAACCAGAGGGUUCGGCGGACCGCCUGCCCAACUCUCGCCGGAACUCAGUCGUUCACUUCAGUUCUCAAUUAAAAUCGAAAUAAAUCACAGGAAUAAAUAUAACAACAACCUAAAACUUAACGCAAAACUUAUGUACAUUACUAUCUCAAAAGGAAGUACAAACAUCGAAUAUACAAAGGUUCUCAAUUCACCACACCUCCAACCCGUGCCAAGCACUAGGGCGAGAACCAUUACAAAAGAAACAAAAGAACUAUACUGGCUAGUCUAUAUCGAGUUCACGUCCUUGCUCGCCUUCCCCUGUUAAGGAAAACAAACUAAAGGGGUGAGUUAAAAACUCAAUGAGAUUCCAAACACAUAAUCAACAACAAAGCCAAUACAUUAACCAUCGAUAAUCAAUAAUUCAAGAAACAUUUACAAUGGAAAGCGAUAAUAACACAUACAUUAAAAGGAUACGGGCUCACAGGGAGCCAUUUGUUCGUUCAUUCGUUCGUUUGUUCUCCUGUCAUUCCCCUUAUUCCUCCAAUCAUUUGAAAAUGCAUUUUUGUAAGUAAAACCCCCGUUUUUCGUUCAUUUCAUUCACCCCCUCCUGGACGUUGGCCAGGCUCCACCAACCUACAAGGUAAUACUCGAGUAUACCAACGUUCACACUCAGGGUCACCAUAUCGCCCGACCGAGUCCGCUUCUGGCUCGAGUCGAUCGGUAACGAAGGGCAGGGCCCAGUUCAGCCAAAAAGCUUACAUCAUACACAACUAAUGUAUCAAUCAUUAAAUCGUUGAAAAUUUCACGUUUCAUUUAGGUCGAGCGCGAUAAAAUAUACGCUCGCCUAGAAAAUUCGUUUUGGAAAUCAUUGGAAACACUUAACACAUUAUCAAACAAUAACAACAAGUCAUGAAGUCAAGGAAAAUAUAACAAACAAGGAACACUCACCUAUGUACGCAAAACAACGUGCAAAAUAUCAUUCCGGAUAUUAUCUUUAAUCACCGAGAAAACCUAAGAUUAAACGAGAAGGAAUAUUACAACUCAUCUAGCACAAACAAUUACGUGAAAUCAACGAAACUCGACAAAUGAUGAGUAGAACGUAUAAAAAGACUUUAAAGUGAAACGAGGACAUUUGGACCCGUGGACAAAAAUAAUUAGGGUUUCAUAGACCAAACGUAAAACUAAACUCAAAAGGGUUAUAAAAUUUUUCAAUGGAAACACUUGAACCAAAGACAAGUCGGAAUCCAACUAGAUAGGCUAAGAAAUACUAUUUUCGGGAUCGUUUAUAUGGUUCAAAAUCAUCUCAUAUUCAAGUAGAUAUUAUAGACUAAAUGUCUUAAUGAAAUUCAUGUAAAAGGGAGGACAAAAUACUCAAGAAAACCCUAAACCACUCCUUUUUAUUUGGGUAAGAGUAAGUAAACAUUUGGAGUUUCCAAUUGAAGAAGGAUCAUAUUUUAAGAUGGAAAACGGUUAUAGUAUUUGCCAAACGAAAAUAUACAAGUUCAAAUAGAAACUUAGCCCUCGAGCGAAAAUUUGGGCAGCACGCCCUUUGUAUUUACCUAUUUUUUCAGCCAUUUAUGGCUUCAUUGUUUUCCUCAAUCAAUCCCAAAGUCACACACAAUAUCAUCUCAUUUCAAUAGCCAUUCCAUAGGCUCAAAGUCAUACAAGUACAAAAUCAAGCUAACGACAUGUGCGGAAAUGAAGUUUAGCAAAAGGACAGAUUUGAUGUGAUUUUGCGUAAUGGACAUAACCGAGGCUACGCUUAUCGGAUUGAGGUGUAAUUUAUACCGUUUGAAGCUAAGACAAAGAGCUAUAACUUUGAUGAAGACUACUUAGUCCAGUUCUCACCCUAACUAGGUCAAAUGUACCAAAACAACUCCAGAUUUUCCAGUUCGAGGCUCACUGUGAAAUUCAACUAGCAGUCCUGAUUCAUUCACUCAUAUCUCAGCACACACAACUCCAAUUCAGGUAAUUCCAAAGCCAUUUGAAAGCUAAGACACAAGGCUAUAAUUCUUAAGUAGACAUCAACAACCAAUUCGGUAAUAUUCCUGGUCAAACUAACCACUUACAUAAGCUGAUUAUCAGUUUCGGACAGAAACAGGGUAGCAGGGGUAUUUUGGUCUUUUCACAGGCUACAUUGCUCCAAUUGAGCUGAAAUUUUACAGGAAACUAUAAAACAUUAUUUCCUACAACUUUUAUGUUUUGGGCAAGAGCUGAUUCGGCCUCCAUCAUGGCCUAACAGGUCCAGGCAGAACAGGGUAAAAAUGAAACCCUAAACUGGAAUUCAUGCAUUCAAGUGCUAAUUUUCCACAAAACAACAUCUAAAACAACUAAAAACCACUAAUAAGCAAUUAAUUGAAGUAAAGAGGAUGUUCUUGGUAAAAUAUCUUAAAAUCACAAGAAAGGUAGGAGCUUAAUCUUUCCUCCUCCAAAAUAACUCCACCAACACCUUUAACCUUCCCUAAUGAUCACUUGUAUGGUGUAGUUUGUGAUUUGGUUGGUUGAGACUCAAGAUUUGAGCAAAUUUGGAAGCUAGAAAUUGAAGAGCUCUCUCUUGUUUUCCUCCUCAAGAGGUUCGGCCAAGACACAAGAAAAAUGAGAGAAAAUUGAGUCAAAAUUGACUUUAGGAAAGUUAAGAAGGUCUUGGUCAAAUCCAACAUCCAAUGGGUUUGUGACACUUGGCACCUUGCUUGCUUAAGCUUAUCUCUUUGUCUCUCUAAUACUAAUCCAUAUAGGCAACUUCUAAUUAUCUCUUAACACCUUGUAAAAUAAUAUCACUUAACCAAACUCCAACAAGUUGUCAAAAAUAUAUCGCAUUUACCGCACUAGCGGGUCCCACGUCCAUAAUACACUUCAAACUCAACGUACACUAAUUCAUACUAGGAAGAUGAUUUUAAAACUGUACUUACUUGUAAAAAUGCAUAGAAAAUUUAAUAUUUCCAAGGAAAGUAUAAAAUAUAGUCAAAGAAAUAAAAUAAUGUUGAGAAAAUGUGAAAUUUUUUUGGGUCCUCACAGACACAAAUAUGAAAAUCCCUAAAAUCAACGAGAUGGUUAUCUAUUAAUUUGUUUCUAUCUUUUAAUUCAUACGUCUUUUAAUAGAAUUUUUCUUUUUUUAUUUAACCAAUGAUGGCUGUAAACCUUGACGGCCACUCUAAUGACUGCCCUUGCCCCAAGCCAUGAUUUGGAUUUGGAUUUGAAUUGACAGAGCAUCGUGACUGGUAGGAAUUUGAGAAUAUCUCCCAAAAUUUCAUUGGGCAAGUGGGAAAGCUAUCCUUCAAUACCUACCAUAGACUUCAAAGCUUAAAAUUCAUACGUUAAGCACUAACAAGAGUUUUGGAUAAUCCAUACCAUGCUAACUAAAGUUUGUCCAAACAUAUUCACUCAAAAAAUGUCUUAGCUAUGGAUCAGCGCUUUUACAAUAAAAGAAAGAAACAAAUCAAAAAGGAUGCAAAGAACUAAGCUAGAGAAUUCUAGUAAGCUAAAAUUAUAUAACGAGCAAAACUAUCCAUGAAUAGUUAUCUAUAUAUUACGUACAAACCAAGAAACAGUAUGACAAAGAAACAGUGAACUAAGCCACAAAAUUUUUCAUAUCCAUACUUACUAUUUGAUAAACAACUAUAAUAAUAAUUUUAUCAAUAUAAUAGGAUACUUUUGAUGGUACUUCAUUGUAGAUUUAGAUUUAUAAGAUAGAAAAAAAAAUGUUGAAAUAAUUCAUUUAGAGUUUAUAAAAUUUUCAAAUAGUGAAAUUAUCAUAAUUUAGUAGUGAUUUUGGGUUAUUUCUUUUUAAUUUAUUUUUAAUCUUAGUACCAAAAAAUAGAAAACAAAGAUCAGUAAAAACAUUAGAUUACAUAUAAAAUUAACUCGUUAAAAAAAUCACUAAUUCGACAUUUGGUUACAAUAGAAACUAGAAUCAAUAGUGGUAGUUCUACAAUUUUAUCGGCGAAAAAUUAAAAAAUAGGAAUAAGAAGGAAAAAAAAUGAAAAAAAAAUUUAAAACUCUUUCAUUUUUUUUUUGGCGAAACCCCUUUUUACGGGGCCAGGUUGCCAAUCCCUAAUUUAUUAAUAAACUUGAAAAAUUUACUUCUAAAACUCAUUCUAAAUAUAAGAAUACCAAAUAAGAGAAUUUCAUGAAAAUAUUCAAGGGUAAAAUUGUUAUUUUAAAUGAAAAAGGAGGUAUAUGUAAUUUUUUAAAUCUCAAGGGAAUUUAGUGAAAUUAUCGAAAGCCUCAGGGAGGUUUCUGAAAUUAUCCCAUUUUUCUAUCAUCAUACGUGGAAGCUGGAUCCGAGUAUUCCAGGCUCCAGCAGCCUUCUCUGAGGCGGACCCCAGACGAGAGAAAAGAAAGUAGCGAAGAGAAUCAAAUCCCGGAAAGAUCACAAGACGUGGCAUUUUGUUCAUCAAGUCAUGUGUAUGCAGACAUUUCCCUUGAGAACGAAUUAAAUUCAGUCAUGGAUUACGAAUUUCUGAUGUGAAACUUUUUUUUUUUUUUUGACAUAAUCUGAUGUGAAACUCAAAUCUAAAUCUAAGUGUUAUUGAUAACAUUACUUUAGAGUAUACGACAAAGCCAUACGGUAACAAUGACUUGGAAAAUAUAAAUCACCAUUGGCAACAUUUGUUGUUAUAGGUGCUGCUAAUGUGUAUGACAAUUGAAGGCCCUAAUAUUAUUGAUAAUAUUAGCUCUUAAUUACUAUUACUAUUAUUAUUAUUAUUAUUGAUAACAUUAAUUAUUAAUUACAAAUUACAAUGUGACAUUUCGAGCACAGACUAAUUGCCACCAUUGGCAAUAUUAUUUGUUAAUUAGAAAUUCUUAAUGUGUAAGUCAAUUCAAAGUCUUAAUGUUAUUGAUGGCAUUAGUUAUUAAUCACCAAUAUUAUUAAUAACGUUACAAUCUUUUUUUUGUCUUGGAAGAGAUUAGAUUCCACAACUUUUAAGACAUAAAGUUUCGAGUUUAACCAUUAAACUAAAACUUUUUUGACAUUAUUGAUAACAUUACACAUGAAUUCGUAAUUCAUAAUUUGACACUUGUACCAAAGAAUAGCGUGUUUGGAUAUGUUUCUAUUUGCAAAAAAUUAUUUGAUUGCAUCAUAAACAUCAUUUUUAAUCACCUUUUUAUUUUUUUUAAUCAUCUUUUUAUCUACAUAUAUCGCAUUAUAAAAAUUGCUAUGAUGUUAUGCUAAAAAUAUGUUUCCAAAUAAUCUCCAAUUUAAAAACUUAGUUUAAACUCACACCUCCCUAAUGUGGUUCUCGAUUCAAGGUUCGAGCUUUAGUAUAUUAAUAUAUUACUAUGAAUUGGUAAUUGAAUUACGUUUAUGCCAUAUUGGAUUACUAUCAUGUAUAGUUGUAUACCCAUUGGGCAACUAAAUGGCACUAAGAAGUUCUAAACUGAAAUCAAUGUAAAGAUUUUUUUUCCAUUUGCAACAUUUUUUUUUCUUUUUCAAAAUAAGUGGAGUCCAGUACUUUUAAUUUUGGGAUAAUUUCAAAAACCCUUUCUUGAGAUUUUUAACAAUUUCACUGAGCUCCUCUGAGGUUUACCUCCCUUAAUUUGAUAGUUUUAGUAACAAAACCUUAAAUUAAUAUCGACUUGGUCAAAUUUUUAAAUGAAUAUCCAAAAAUACCCCUGUGUAAUGAGUUUUAUUUACUUCCCUAUAGAAUUAUAAGAUUAUCUAAUGUAAUUAUAAGAAAAAGGUGCCGAAUUUUUCCAUGUCUAUACCUGUUAUUUGAUAAACAAUUAUAAUAAUAAUUUUAUCACUAUGAUAUGAUACUUUUGAUGGUAUUUUAUUAUGGAUUUAGAUUUAUAAGAUAGGAAAUAAAAUGUUGAAAUAAUUGAUUCAAAAUUUAUGAAUUUUUUGAAUAGUGGGAUUAUCAUAAUUUAGUAGUGAUUUUGGGCAAUUUUUUGAUUUAUUAUUAAUUUUAAUACCAAAAAAUAGAAUACAAAAAUUAGCAAAAAAUAUUGGAUUAUGUAUAAAGUUAACUCAUCAAAAAAAUCACUAGUUCGACGUUUGGUUACAAUAGAAACUAGAGAUAAUAAUGGUAAUUUUACAAUUUUAUUAGUGAAAAAUUGAAAUAAAAAGGAAAAAGAAGGAAAAAGAAUGAAAAAAAUAACUUUAAAGUCAUUGUAAGUAUAAUUAUCCCAAAUAAAGGAAUUUUAUUAAAAUAUUUAAGAGUGGUAUUGUCAUUUUAAAUAAUAAGGGAGGUAUGUAUAAUUUUUCAAAUCUUAAGGAAGCUCAAUGAAAUUAUUAAAAAACCUUGGUGAGGUUUCUGAAAUUAUCCCUUUAAUUUUCGGUAGCAUCUACCGCUGGAUCCAUAUAUACCUUGCCCUAUAAUAUUCAUUGUCAUUGACAUCAAGAAAACAAGAAAAAAAAAAUGGGUGAAGUUAAUGAUGGGAUGCUUUCCCCUUUCCAAUCCUUGCCGGAAGGCUGCAAAUCACACAUCAUCUUUUACACAUCUAUUCAAGAUGCAUGCAGUGCAUCACUCAUUUCUAAGGAGUUCAACUCUGCUUCUAAGUCUGAUACUGUUUGGGGAAAAUUUCUUCCUCCAGAUCUCAAAGAGAUCAUCUCAAAUUUAGUUCCCUGGUUGAGCUCUAAAACGAAGAAAGAGCUCUACCGUUUGCUUUGUCACUUUUCAAACCCGAUCGACAAGGGAAUCCUGAUCAACAAGGGAAACCGGGUAAUCUCUCAACUCCUCAUUUUUUUUAUACAAAAAAAAAAUUUAUUUUUAAAAAUUGUUGUUUUUCCUUUUUCUUGUUUUCAUCUUUUCUUUUCUGGGCAAUUUGGAUUCACUAUAUGGAAAGAGAGUUAUCUUUUGUCUCACCGAUUCUCCCUCCCCUUUUUCCCUUCUAAUGGAAAUAUUGGCAAAUCAAUGUUAACAAAAUCAAGGAGUUGGUCUUACAGGUUGUAAUGAAACUGUAGAAUCUCCAAAAACGUUACAUAAGUAAGUUACUUAUGAAAAGGGGGAUCUUGAUUCACAGUUGAUCACUGAAAGGAUCAGGAUCUAGGGUCUUGAAUCGUUGUACACUGUACGAUCUUUUAACCCAAAAUGUUAGUACUAGUUAUUAUGCCAUGAAUUAGCUGAAUCUGAAUCUCUGUCAAGAUUUCCACAGAGAGUAGGCUUGGCAGGUUUUUCCAAGAAGUUUUAAUAGGAGAGGUUAGAAAAGGGGCGUUUGAUUGCUAUUUUUAAGAAUUUUUGUUAAAAAAAUGUACCAUAACAGUAUGACGUAUGUAAAGUAAAAAAAUGAUUAUAAAAUAUUUUCAAGAAAAUAUAAAAAUUUGUCUGUACAAGACCACGAUCCAAACAAGUUAGUGUUCCUGGACCUACUGGUACAUGUUAUUGUUUGUUAUUGUACCAAAUUUCAGCCCCUUGCCUAUAAAUGGGCUGCAAAUUGAAUCCACACUGUUGAAGAUUCAAUUUGAGAGCUCGUGGAGCUUUUUGGCCUGGACAUAUUGAAUAGUCGGGAUGGUUAAUUUGUCGAAUUGUUUUUGAGUGAUGGACUUAGGAUGAAGAAAUACAUGAUGCAUCUUACAGCCUUGGCAUACUACGUGAAUCUUAUAAUAGCAGAGACUAGAGCGUGACUGCUAUUUUUUUUUUAUUUUCCGCUAUUCUAGUUCAAGAACAUUUAUUUGUCAGAUUAACUUACUUUAAUGCUGGCCUGACAAUUCAAAUCGCUUUGUUCAUAGCAUUUCCAACCUGUAACUUUUAAUUUGUCUCAUGAUUUUCAGCGUUGCUUUCUAAAUGUCUCUCUUUUUGUUGAUGAUACAUUUCUCAUGUUGACAUUACCGGGAUGCUUAUGAAGUAGGCAUAAUCAUAAUUUUUCACAACCUUGUCUCUACGAAAAAAACAAAUUAAAAUCCGUCAAAUGCUCUUUCCAUAUUGAUCUCAAGCAUAUUAUUGAUUAACAUAAAAGAUGCGUCUGCUGUUGGACAGCGCUUCUGGCUAACUAAGUGCUCGAAAAAAUGUUAUAUGCUGAGCGCGUGGGAGCUCUCCAUUCAUAAGAAAGAAGAUCCUGAGUGCUGGAAGUGGUAUGAGUUAUCUGGAUCAAGGUAUGCAUAAAAGGCUGAGACACCCUGCCUGAAAUUUCAGUCUAAUCUUGGCCAAUCUGGAUGAAAGCUCUAUUCUUUGUGUUUCUUUGCUCAUUGAUUAAUCUGGAAAAGAAAUGAUAUAUUCAGGUUUUCUGAGGUGGCUGAGCUGCAGCGAGUAGAUAUCCUUGAUAUACGAGUAAAAAUGCCAGCUCGAUCACUGUCACUGAAGACUAAUUAUGGGGCUUACCUUGUGUUCAAAACUAAUGAGUAUUCCUAUGGACUUAAAACUGUUGCCAAGGCUUCUGUUAGCUUUGCUGCUACUGCUGGCACUAGUGGUCUCUCUGAGCCUAUGGAAGGCGACUCUGUCUACCUAAAAAUACCUACAGACGUGCAUUAUCUAACACCUACAGAUGAAGAUGAUCCAGGAUAUAGAAGGCGGGAGCCUGAUCUGCAGCGACGAUUUGUUCUGGUGCCUCGGCCUGAGCAUGAAAUUGAUGGCCGGGUUCCACGUGAGAGAAACGAUGGAUGGCAGG